Molecule: long non-coding RNA, 62121 nt
Filed under: Hordeum vulgare
Lineage: Eukaryota; Viridiplantae; Streptophyta; Magnoliopsida; Poales; Poaceae
Description: long non-coding RNA (HVUL_LNC019861)
Source: RNAcentral
CUGAAGCAAGUAAACAAGAUGUGGCUGUUCAGCCGGAGAAGUUUGAUGAAGUCCCCACCGAUGCUGGGAAUUCACAGACUAAACUGGAAGAAGGAUUGAAAACUCCUGCNNNNNNNNNNNNNNNNNNNNNNNNNNNNNNNNNNNNNNNNNNNNNNNNNNNNNNNNNNNNNNNNNNNNNNNNNNNNNNNNNNNNNNNNNNNNNNNNNNNNUCGGUAAUCCGCAGCCAGACACCAGUAGUCUGUAAGGCUUAUAUCUCGGAAAUCCGGCUCCCUCCGGACGUCCGAGGGCCGAACGCCUGAGGGCCGAACGUCCGACUGGCUUCGGUAAUCCGCAGCCAUACACCAGUAGUCUGUAAGGCUUAUAUCUCGGAAAUCCGGCUCCCUCCGGACGUCCGAGGGCCGGACGUCCGGCCAAGCUCCGAAAAUCCGGAAGUCAACACCAGUAGAAUGUGUGCACUAUAUCUCGGAAAUCCGGCUCCCUCCGGAUGCCCGAGCGCCGGAUGUCCGACACACAUCGGAAAUCCGGAAGCCACCACGAGUAGAACUUGUGCUGUAUAACACGAACUUCCGGGCCACUCCGGACGUCCGUAUGCUGAUGAAUUCAAAUAUGUUCAGGAACACCUACAGGCCUCGGACGACCGACCACUGUCAGACGUCCGGCCGCUGAUGAAUUCAGAAGAGUUCCAGUCAUGCCUACAGGUCUCGGACGACCGACCCCUGUCGGACGUCCGGACCCUCACGGACGCCCGGACUUCCGACAAGUGUCGGACGUCCGGACCCUGUGUGACUUAUUGCACCUCCAACGGCUGGAUUUCACUCCACACUAUAAAUACUCUUCUCCCACCUCGUGAAAGGGUGUUCAACACAGCUAAGACACAUCCAAGAACACCUUUCCUCUCACUCACUCUUGUCUACACCAAAUCCUAGAUCCCAAGAGCAUUUGUGAGUCCUUUUGAGUGUUGUUCCAAUCAAAAGAUAGAUCGUCUCCCUCUCCUCCUUCCCACCAAAGUGAUUCGUGAUUUGAGCAAGUUUUGAGCAAUCCCCGUGAUCUUGUUACUCUUGGAGGUUGGAGACUCCUAGGCGGUAGGAGUCUUCGGAGAGGAAUCAAACCAUUGUGAUUUCCCCCGGAAAGUUUGUGAAGGUUUGGAAGCCACCUCAAGGCUUACCACUAGUGGUUGAGAAACGCCUUCGUGGAGUUAUCUCAAAGGGAGAAUAGGGUGAGCCUUCGUGGCGUUGGUGUGCCUUCGUGGUAACAUCCGCCCCUCUAACGGUGACGUAGCUUCCCUCCAAGGAAGUGAACAUCGGGAUACAUCCUUGUCUCUCUCGGAGUUUCGGUUAUUCCUAACCCUAACUCUCUACUUGUGUUAAUCCUUAUUACAUACUUGUAUUUUCUUAUUGUUUACGGCUUGCCUUGUUUCACUCCUAAUAGUUUACUCUUUGUCAUAGCAAUUAUUAGGCUUACACUUAUAUUCCGCACUUUAGCCUAAAAUUGCCAAGUAAUUAUUAAAAUUUGGAUUUGUACCUAUUCACNNNNNNNNNNNNNNNNNNNNNNNNNNNNNNNNNNNNNNNNNNNNNNNNNNNNNNNNNNNNNNNNNNNNNNNNNNNNNNNNNNNNNNNNNNNNNNNNNNNNUCCAGUUGAAGAGAAAGUCAUUGCCUAUAAUGAUCCUAUUGUUCCCAGUGCUUACAUUGAGAAACCACCUUUCCCUGUUAGGAUAAAGGAUCAUUCUAAAGCUUCAACUGUUAUACGUAGAGGCUAUAUUAGAACACCUACACCCCCUGAGCAAAUUAGAGCUGAACCUAGCAUUGCUAUCAUCAAAGAUCUUCUGUCCGAUGAUGUUGAGGGACAUAAUAUUCACUUCGGUGAAGAUGCUGCUAGAAUUGCUAAACCUCACGCUAGAGACAAACAUGGGCAUGUUGUUGGCAUGCAUGUUGUUUCUGUUAAGAUAGGAGAUCAUUGUUAUCAUGGUUUAUGUGAUGUGGGUGCUAGUGUUAGUGCAAUACCUCAAUCCUUAUAUGAUGAAAUCAAAGACGAGAUUGCACCUAUUGAGAUAGAGCCUAUUGAUGUCACUAUUAAGCUUGCCAAUAGAGAUACUAUCUGCCCUGUGGGAAUUGUUAGGGAUGUNNNNNNNNNNNNNNNNNNNNNNNNNNNNNNNNNNNNNNNNNNNNNNNNNNNNNNNNNNNNNNNNNNNNNNNNNNNNNNNNNNNNNNNNNNNNNNNNNNNNNNNNNNNNNNNNNNNNNNNNNNNNNNNNNNNNNNNNNNNNNNNNNNNNNNNNNNNNNNNNNNNNNNNNNNNNNNNNNNNNNNNNNNNUUCCUCGUUCUUGCUACCGCACAAGACAGCCUUUGUCCCAUCAUAUUUGGCAGACCCUUCCUCAAUACUGUCAAUGCUCAUAUUGAUUGUGAGAAGCAAAAUGUCACUGUUGGCUUCGAAGGUGUGUCACAUGAGUUCAAUUUCUGUAAGUUUGGUAGACAACCUCAUGAAAAGGAGUUGCCUAGUAGGGAUGAAACUAUUGCCUUAGCCUCUAUUGUUGUGCCUCCUACUGAUCCCUUAGAGCAAUACUUGCUUGAGCAUGAAAAUGAUAUGCAUAUGGAUGAAAGGGAUGAGAUAGAUAGAGUUGUCUUAGAACAAUAUCCUAUCCUUCAGAAUAACUUGCAUGUUGAACUGCUUGGGGAUCCACCCCCACCAAAGGGUGAUCCUAUGUUCGAGCUUAAACAGUUGCCUGAUACUCUUAAGUAUGCUUAUCUUGAUGAAAAAGAGAUAUAUCCUGUUAUUAUUAGUGCUAGCCUCUUAGAGCAUGAAGAAACUAAGUUACUAAAAACUCUCAGGAAGCACCGUGCUGCUAUUGGAUAUACUCUUGAUGAUCUUAAGGGCAUUAGUCCUACUCUAUGCCAUCACAAGAUUAAAACUGAUCCUGACUUCAAACCAGUUGCUGAUCAUCAAAGGAGAUUGAAUCCUAAGAUGAAAGAAGUAGUGAGAAAAGAAAUACUAAAGCUCCUGGAAGCAUGUAUCAUUUAUCCUGUUGCUCAUAGUGAUUGGGUGAGUCCGGUGCAUUGCGACCCUAAGAACGGAGGCAUUACCGUUGUCCCUAAUGAUAAGGAUGAAUUGAUCCCUGCUACUGCAACAAAAGACCUUCCAACGGCGCCAGAAGCGUGCUGACGGGAGACUGUUCAUGUCUUGAUACUCCUCAGCAACGGCACCAGGAAUCCUUCUGCUACGGCUACGCCUUAAGGGACUUCCUAGGCAAAUAUGCAAAGGAUUUCCCCCGUGGCCUUGGAGCCUUGUUGGUGUUCCCUCGAAGUGGAAAGGGUGAUGUAGCGCAGCGGUGGUAAGUAUUUCCCUCAGUUUGAGAACCAAGGUAUCGAUCCAGUGAAGGAGUAUCUCAAGUGCCUGCACAAACACAAAAAGCUUGCUCCCAACGCUAUGAAGGGGUUGUCAAUCCCUUAUAGAUUGUUCGCCAAGUAAGAACUGAAAGCAACAAAGUAACAAAGCAAAGUAAAAGCANUAUCCAGCAUGCAUCUAGUGUAUUAAGUCCAAAAGAACAGAGUAACGCCUUAAGCAAGAUGACAUGAUGUAGAUGGACAAUCUCAUAUCUACGACAAAGCCCACCUUGUUACCCUUGAUGGCAACUACACGAUGUGUGCCUUGCUGCCCCUACUAUCACUGGGAAAGGUCACCACACGGUAAGAACCCAAAACCAAGCACUUCUCCCAUUGCAAAAAUCAUAGAUCUAGUUGGCCAAACAAAACCCAAGACUCGGAGAGACUUACAAGGAUAUCAAAUCAUGCAUAUAAGAAAUCAGCAAAGACUCAAAUAUAUAUCAUAGAUAAUCUAAUCACAAAUCCACAAUUCAUCGGAUAUCAACGAACACACCGCCAAAGAGGAUUACAUCGGAUAGAUCUCCAUGAAGAUCAUGGAGAACUUUGUAUUGAAGAUCCAAGAGAGAGAAGAAGCCAUCUAGCUAGUAACUACGGACCCGUAGGUCUGAAGUGAACUACUCACAAGUCAUUGGAGGGGCGAUGAUGUUGAUGUAGAAGCCCUCCAACUCCAAAGUCCCCUCCGGCAGGGCACCGGGAAGGGUCUCCAGAUGAGAUCUCGCGGAAACGGAAGCUUGCGACGGCGGAAAAGUGUUUUCGAGGAUUCCCUGAUUUUUUUCUGUAUUUUAGGGAAUAUAUAGGCGAAGGAGCUAGGUCAGGGGGGCGCCAGGGAGGCCACAAUCCUGCUGGCCGCCGCCCCCAUGGCGGCGGCUAGGGGGCUUGUGGGCCCCUUGUAGCCCUCCUGGCUUGGCCCUCAAGCCCCCUGAUCUUCUUCCAGUCGGGAAAAUUUUAUUUUUGGGAUUUUAUUCCGUUUGGACUCCGUUCCAAAAUCAGAUCUGAAAAGAGCCAAAAACACAGAAAAAAUAGGAACUGGCACUUGGCACUGAAUUAAUAAGUUAGUCCCAAAGAAGAUAUAAAAGGUACAUAAAACAUCCAAAGAUGACAAGAUAACAACAUCAAACCAUCAAAAAUUAUAGAUACGUUUGAGACGUAUCAAGCAUCCCCAAGCUUAACUCCUGCUCGUCCUCGAGUAGGGAAGUGAUAAAGAAUGAAUUUUUGAUGCUUUCAUGCUACCUAGCAUAGAUGUCCUUUGUAACUCCUCUUAUGUGACGUGAAUGUUCAGAUCCAUUAGAUUCAAAACAAUAGUUUGCUAUUGACAUAGAAACAAUAAUAAUUCAAGCAAACUAGCAAGGUAAUCAUGAACUUUCAAAAUAACAAUGCCAAAAGAAAGUUAUCCCUACAAAAGCAUAUAGUCUGGCUAUUCUCUAUCAUCAUUGCACAACAAAUUUAAAUCAUGCACAACCCCGGUAUUGGGCAAGUAAUUGUUUCACACAUUUACUUUCUCAAACCUUUUCAACUCUCACGCAAUACAUGAGCGUGAGCCAUGGUUUUAGCACUAUAAGUGGUGUGGAGUGUGGUGGAGGUUGCAAGACAAAAUAAGGAGAAGAUGAUCACAUUAACUAGGCAUAUCAAUGAGCUGUGGAGAUGCUCAUCAAUAGAUAUCAAUGUGAAUGAGUAGGGAUUGCCAUACAAAUGAUGCACUAGAGCUAAGAGUAUGUGAAAGCUCUUAAAGAAAACUAGUGGGUGUGCAUCCAACUUGCUUGCUCACGAAGACCUAAGGCAAUUUUGAGGAAGCCUAUCAUUGGAAUAUACAAGCCAAGUUAUAUAAUGAAAAUUUCCCACUAGCUAUAUGGUGGUGACAAAACGAGAUACUCUCAAUCAUGUAGAUCAUGGUGCUUAAUAUGCACAAGUGUGGAAAGGUGGUAACAUUGUCCCUUCUCUCUUUUUCUCUCAUCAUUUUUUUUGGUGGGCUCAUUGGCCUCUUUUUUUUGGUGGGCAUCUUGGCCUCUUUUAUUUCCUCACAUGGGACAAUGCUCCAUCGAUGAUGAUCAUCACACUUUCAACUCAAAACUUAGAGCAACGAUGAUUCUAUAUGGAAUGCCUUCGGUAGUGUACCGUGACAAUGAUCUAGCAAGGCAUAGACAUUAAUGGAAAUAUCAUGCUAGCUAUCUUACGAUCAUGCAAUGGCAAUGUAGAAGUGGUGGCACAUGUCAUGGUGGUAGUUGCAUGGCAAUAUAUCUCGGAAUGACUUUGAAAAAGCCAUAGUAGGUAGGUAUGGUGGCUGUUUUGAGGGAGGCUAAUGGUGGGUUUUGUGCACCGGCGAAAGUUGCACGACACUAAGAAGAUAGUGAUGGUGGAAGGUGAAAGUGCAUUUAAACCAUGGACUCAACAUUAGUCAUGAAGAACUCAUAUACUUGUUGCAAAAGUUUUGUUAGUAAUCAAAACAAAGCAUUCAACGCAUACUCCUAGGGGAAGGGUUGGUAGGUAUAAACCAUCGCGCGAUCCCGACCGCCACACAAAGGAUGACAAUCAAAAGACCAAUCAUGCUCAGACUUCAUCACAUAGUGGUUCACCAUACGUGCAUGCUACGGGAAUCACUAACUUCAACACAAGUAUUUCUAGAUCCACAACACCUUAUUAGCAUAACUUCAAUAUUACCACAACCACAACUCAAAACUAGUUGAGAUGGAUCAAACUUCUAUAACUAUUCAAUGCACAUGAAGGUGGAAGUUUUCGUAUCCCUUUGGAUAACUACCCCUUUUGAGACUACUUUCAAAGCAUAGAUCAACUACCAAGCCACGCACCGCUGUGCUCUAAAAGAUAUAAGUGACGCACAUAGAGCAAAAGUAUCUAGCCCAAAAGAUAUAAGUGAAGCACAUGUGAGCUGAAUUGUCUACCAGAGGAUAUAAGUGAAGCUCGACAAAAUCACGGUGAGUGCAUGUCUCUCUCUCUAGGUGUGCGGCAAGGAUGAUUGUGACACAACAAAAAUAAAAGACUCUUACGAUACAAGACGCUCCAAGCAAAAACACAUAAUAUGUGGUGAAUAAAAAUAUAGCCCCAAGUAACGUUACCGAUGGAUUGAAAACGAGAGAGGGGAUGCCUUCCCGGGGCAUCCCCAAGCUUAGGCUUUUACGGCAUCCUUGAAUCUCUUGGGGUGCCUUGGGCAUCCCCAAGCUUGAGCUCUUGCCACUCUUUAUCUCUUUGUCCAUAAGAACUUCACCCAAAACUUGAAAACUUCACAACACGAAACUUAAAUAGAAACUCGUGAUAACAUUAGUAUAAGAAAGCAAACCACCACUUCCUUAGGUACUGUAGCAAACUUAAAUUCUACUUAUGCUGAUGUUGGGUUACUGUAUUUUCAAUCUUCCAUGGCUAAUACCCCCCGAUACUAUCCAUAGUUUCAUCAAAAUAAGCAACCAACACAACAAAAAACAGAAUAUGUUAACAGCAGACCAGUCUGUAGCAAUCUGUAUAUCUCGUAUACUUCUGGUACUUCAAAAAUUCUGAAACAUUACGACAGUCUGAAGAAUUUGUGUAGAAAUCAGAAGCAAGAAGAAUCAACUCAAAAGCUCUUACAUAAAAAAUGAAAAUUAUUUUCGUGAGCAGAAAGUUUCUGUCUUUUCCACCAUGACCAAACGAUCAUCCCCAAGACUAAUCAUAACGAUUUUGCUUGGCACAAACGCAAAAAGAAACACAAAAAACACAAUCAUAACUGAAUUAUGAAAGUGUGGAAAACACAAAACAGAAAGAAAAAGGAUAGAUUCGUUGGGUUGCCUCCCAACAAGCGCUAUUGUUUAACGCCCUUAGCUAGGCAAAAGGUGAUGGAAUCACGUAUAGUCAUCUUUGGUGCUCAAACCAUAAGUAGCCCUCAUCAUAGAUUCAUAAGGUAAUCUUAUUUUCUUUCUAGGAAAGUGCUAUGUGCCCUUAUUUAAAGGAAAUUGAAAUCUAAUAUUCCCUUCCUUCAUAUCGAUGAUAGCACCAAUAGUCCUUAGGAAAGGUCUACCAAGAAUAAUGGGACAUGAAGGAUUGCAAUCUAUGUCAAGUAUAAUGAAAUCCACGGGUACAUAGUUCUUAUUUGCAACAAUAAGAACAUCAUCGAUCCUUCCCAUGGGUUUCUUGACAGUAGAAUCCGCAAGAUGCAAAUUAAGAGAACACUCUCCAAUCUCAUGAAAACUAAGAAUAUCACAUAAAGACUUUGGAAUCGCGGAAACACUAGCACCCAAAUCAUACAAAGCAUUGCACUCCUAGUUUUUGAUCUUGAUUUUGAUAGUAGGUUCCCACUCAUCAUGAAGUUUUCUAGGUAUAGAGACUUCUAAUUCAAGCUUCUCUUCAAGAGAUUUCAUCAUAGCAUCUACGAUAUGCGCGGUAAAGGCUUUGCUUUGGCUAUAAGCAUGUGGAGAGUUUGCAAUGGAUUGCAUCAAAGAAAUGCAUUCAAACAAGGAGCAAUUAUCAUAAUUGAAUUCCUUGAAAUCCAAAGUGGGAGUUUCAUUACUACCCAAAAUUUUGAUUUCUUCUAAUACACUCUCCACACCUUUAUCAUCAAGAUGGGUGGACUCCGAAUCAUUGGGGCGUUUUUCAACCAAAGUGGAUUCAUAUCCAGCCCCUUCAUCAAUAGGUUUGACAAGCGAAAACUAAGAUUCAAGAGGAGACACACCAAGCACUUUAAGAUCUUCGUGAUUUGCAUCACUAGAAUGCACCCCUUUAAACCAUUCAUGCCUGGCGCGAAUUUGGGCGGUUCUUUCUUUGCUCUCAUUCAUGGAGACACGCAUAGAUUUCAAAGUUUCAUCCAAGUUGACCUUGGGAGGAGCGCAUCUAACUUUCAAAGCAUCAAUAUCACAAGACAUCCUAUCAACGCUCUUAGCCAAAUCGUCUAUCUUGAGUAGUUUUUCCUCUAUGAACGCAUUGAAAAUCUUUUGAGAGUUGAUGAACUCUUUGAUAUUACUCUCUAAAUCAGAGGGUAAUUUGUUGUGAUUUCCAUAAGUGUUGUUGUAGGAAUUUCCAUAGUUGUUAGAGGAGUUACUAGGAAAAUGCCUAGGAACAUAGUUUCCUCUAAAAGCAUUGUUGUUGCCAAAAUUGUUCCUACCAACAAAAUUCACGUCCAAACUAGCGUUGCUACUCUCAAUCAAAGAAGAUAGUGGCAUGUCAUUAGGAUCUAAAGGAGCGUUUCUACUAGCAACCAAAUUCAUCAACUCGUCCAUCUUAGCACUAAGCGAAUUAAUUUCUUCUAUAGCGUGUACCUUUUUGCUAGGAGGCGACCUUUCAGUGUGCCACUUAGAGUAGUUGGUCAUAAUAUUGUCUAGGAGUUUUGUAGCGUCUCCUAACGUGAUUUCCAUGAACGUUCCACCUGAGGCGGAGUCCAAUAUAUUGCGAGAAGCGAAAUUCAAGCCAGUGUAAAAGAUUUGUAUAAUCAUCCACAAACUCAAGCCAUGAGCGGGACAAUUUCUAAUCAUAAGCUUCAUCCUCUCCCAAGAUUGUGCAACGUGUUCAUGAUGAAGUUGCUUGAAAUUCAUGAUAUCGUUACGUAAGGAGAUGAUCUUAGCCGGCAGAAAAUCUUGGAUAUGUAAGCAUCUUUGCACUUAUCCCAAGAAUCGAUACUAUUUUUAGGCAAAGAAGAAAACCAAGUUUUUGCGCGAUCUCGCAACGAGAAAGGAGAAAGCUUCAACUUAAUCACGUCAUUAUCCACAUCUCUUUUGUUUUGCAUAUCACAAAGCUCAAUGAAGGUAUUGAGAUGGGAUGCAACAUCUUCACUAGGAAGGCCAGAGAAUUGCUCUUUCAUAACAAGAUUCAGCAAAGCUGCGUUGAUUUCGUACGAUUCCGCACUAGUGGCGGGAGCAAUCGGAGUACUAAUAAAAUCAUUAUUAUUGGUACUCGAGAAGUCGCAAAGUUUGGUGUUUUCAGCCAUGAUGACUUCAACAAACAAACAAGCACACAAGCAAGCAAGAAAACCAGCAAAGGAAAACGGCAAAAAGGCAAAUGGAAAAAGAAAAAGGCAAAGGAGAAAGGCAAAUGAAAACGGCAAAUGUGAAGUGGGGGAGAAGAAAACGAGAGGCAACUGGCAAAAAAGUAAAUGCAAGAGAUGAGUUUGUGAGACCUACUUGGAUAAAUCUCUCCUUCCCCGGCAACGGCGCCAGAAAUACUUCUGCUACUGCAACAAAAGACCUUCCAACGGCGCCAGGAACGUGCUGACGGGUGACUGUUCUUGUCUUGAUACUCCUCAGCAACGGCACCAGGAAUCCUUCUGCUACGGCUACGCCUUAAGGGACUUCCUAGGCAAAUAUGCAAAGGAUUUCCCCCGUGGCCUUGGAGCCUUGCGUUGGUGUUCCCUCGAAGCGGAAAGGGUGAUGUAGCGCAGUGGUGGUAAGUAUUUCCCUCUGUUUGAGAACCAAGGUAUCGAUCCAGUGAAGGAGUAUCUCAAGUGCAUGCACAAACACAAAAAGCUUGCUCCCAACGCUAUGAAGGGGUUGUCAAUCCCUUAUAGAUUGUUCACCAAGUGAGAACUGAAAGCAACAAAGUAAAAAAGCAAAGUAAAAGCAAAAGUGGAAACGAUAGGUGUGAAUAGACCCGGGGGCCGUAGUGUUUACUAGUGGCUUCUCUCAUGAAAGCAAGUAGACGGUGGGUGAACAAAUUACUGUCGAGCAAUUGAUAGAAGCGCGCAAAGUCGUGACGUCAUCUAUGGAAAUGAUUAUAUCUAUAGGCAUCACGUCCAAAACAAGUAGAUCGAUACUUUCUGCAUCUACUACUAUUACUCCACACGUCGACCGCUAUCCAGCAUGCAUCUANNNNNNNNNGAGCAAUUGAUAGAACCGCGCAAAGUCGUGACGUCAUAUAUGGCAAUGAUUAUAUCUAUAGGCAUCACGUCCAAAACAAGUAGACCGAUACUUUAUGCAUCUACUACUAUUACUCCACACGUCGACCGCUAUCCAGCAUGCAUCUAGUGUAUUAUGUCCAAAAGAACAGAGUAACGCCUUAAGCAAGAUGACAUGAUGUAGAUGGACAAUCUCAUAUCUACGACAAAGCCCACCUUGUUACCCUUGAUGGCAACUACACGAUGUGUGCCUUGCUGCCCCUACUGUCACUCAGAAAGGUCACCACAUGGUAAGAACCCAAAACCAAGCACUUCUCCCAUUGCAAGAAUCAUAGAUCAAGUUGGCCAAACAAAACCCAAGACUCAGAGAGACUUACAAGGAUAUCAAAUCAUGCAUAUAAGAAAUCAACAAAGACUCGAAUAUAUAUCAUAGAUAAUCUGAUCACAAAUCCACAAUUCAUCGGAUCUCGACAAACACACCGCCAAAGAGGAUUACAUCGGAUAGAUCUCCAUGAAGAUCAUGGAGAAGUUUGUAUUGAAGAUCCAAGAUGGAGAAGAAGCCAUCUAGCUACUAACUACGAACCAGUAGGUCUGAAGUGAACUACUCACGAGUCAUUGGAGGGGCGAUGAUGUUGAUGUAGAAGCCCUCCAACUCCAAAGUCCCCUCCGGCAGGGCACCGGGAAGGGUCUCCACAUGAGAUCUCGCGGAAACGGAAGUUUGCUGCGGCAGAAAAGUGUUUUCGAGGAUUCCCUGGUUUUUUCUGUAUUUUAGGGAAUAUAUAGGCGAAGGAGCUAGGUUAGGGGGGCGCCAGGGAGGCCACAAGCCUGCUGCCCCCCCUGGUGGUGGCUAGGGGGCUUGUGGGCCCCGUGUAACCCUCCUGCCUUGGCCCUCAAGCCCCGUGAUCUUCUUCCAGUCGGGGAAAUUUUAUUUUGGGGAUUUUAUUCCGUUUGUACUCCGUUCCAAAAUCAGAUCUCAAAAGAGCGAAAAACACAGAAAAAACAGGAACUGGCACUUGGCACUGAAUUAAUAAGUUAGUCCCAAAAAAGAUAUAAAAGGUACAUAAAACAUCCAAAGAUGACAAGAUAACAUCAUGAAACCAUCAAAAAUUAUAGAUACAUUUGAGACGUAUCAAGCAUCCCCAAGCUUAACUCCUGCUCGUCCUCGAGUAGGGAAGUGAUAAAGAAUGAUUUUUUUAUGCUUUCAUGCUACCUAGCAUAGAUGUCCUUUGUAACUCCUCUUAUGUGACGUGAAUGUUCAGAUCCAUUAGAUUCAAAACAAUAGUUUGCUAUUGACGUGGAAACAAUAAUAAUUCAAGCAAACUAGCAAGGUAAUCAUGAACUUUGAAAAUAACAAGGCCAAAAGAAAGCUAUCCCUACAAAAGCAUGUAGUCUGGCUAUGCUCUAUCAUCAUUGUAGAACGAAUUUAAAUCAUGCACAACCCCGGUAUUGGCCAAGUAAUUGUUUCACGCCUUUACUUUCUCAAACCUUUUCAACUCUCACGCAAUACAUGAGCGUGAGCCAUGGUUUUAGCACUAUAAGUGGUGUGGAGUGUGGUGGAGGUUGCAAGACAAAAUAAGGAGAAGAUGAUCACAUUAACUAGGCAUAUCAAUGAGCUGUGGAGAUGCUCAUCAAUAGAUAUCAAUGUGAAUGAGUAGGGAUUGCCAUACAAAUGAUGCACUAGAGCUAAGAGUAUGUGAAAGCUCUUAAAGAAAACUAGUGGGUGUGCAUCCAACUUGCUUGCUCACGAAGACCUAAGGCAAUUUUGAGGAAGCCUAUCAUUGGAAUAUACUCCCUCCGUUCCUAAAUAUAAGUCUUUUUAGAGGUUCAACUAAUGAACUACAUACGGAUGUAUAUAGACAUACUUUGAAGUAUAGAUUCAUUUAUUUUGCUCUGUAUGUAUACACCUAGUGAAAUGUCUUAAAAGACUUAUAUUUAGGUACGGAGGGAGUACAAGCCAAGUUAUAUAUUGAAAAUUUCCCACUAGCUAUAUGGUGGUGACAAAACGAGAGACUCUCAAUCAUGAAGAUCAUGGUGCUUAAUAUGCACAAGUGUGGAAAGGUGGUAGCAUUGUCCCUUCUCUCUUUUUCUCUCAUCAUUUUUUUGGUGGGCUCUUUGGCCUCUUUGACUUUUGUGAAAAGAUUGUUGAGGUUUUCAUGGAUAACUUCUCCGUUUACGGGGUAUUCCUUUGAUUAUUGCCUCAGCAACCUUGAUCGAGUCUUGCAGAGAUGUAAAGACUCCAAUCUUGUCUUGAAUUGGGAGAAGUGCCACUUUAUGGUUAAUGAAGGCAUCGUCUUAGGACAUAAAAUUUCUGAAAGAGGUAUUGAAGUCGAUAAGGCUAAGGUUGAUGCAAUCGAGAAAAUGCCAUACCCCACAGAUAUCAAAGGGAUAAGAAGUUUCCUUGGUCAUGUUGGUUUCUAUAGAAGGUUCAUUAAAGACUUCUCUAAGAUUUCUAGGCAUCUUACCAAUCUCUUGCAAAAGGAUAUUCCUUUUGUUUUUGACGAUGAUUGUGAGGAAGCCUUCGAAAUACUUAAGAGGGCUUUGAUAACUGCACCUAUUGUUCAACCACCUGAUUGGAACUUACCUUUUGAAAUCAUGUGUGAUGCUAGCGAUUAUGCUGUUGGUGUUGUCCUAGGGCAAAGAGUUGAUAAGAAGUUGAAUGCUAUUCACUAUGCUAGUAAAACUCUAGAAAGUGCCCAAAGAAACUAUGCCACUAUGGAAAAGGAGUUUUUAGCAGUCGUGUUUGCCUGUGAAAAGUUCAGGUCUUACAUAGUUGAUUCCAAAGUCACUAUUCACACUAAUCACGCUGCUAUUAAGUACCUCAUGGAGAAGAAGGACGCUAAACCUAGACUUAUCAGAUGGGUUCUCUUGCUACAAGAAUUUUAUUUGCACGUUGUCGACAGAAAGGGUGCUGAUAACCCCGUAGGAGAUAACUUGUCUAGGUUGGAGAACGUUCUUGAUGACCCACAACCUAUUGAUGAUAGCUUUCCCGAUGAGCAAUCGAAUGUCAUCAAUGCUUCAUGUAGUGCACCGGGGUAUGCUGAUUAUGCAAACUAUAUCAUUGCCAAAUAUAUACCACCUAGUUUCACAUACCAGCAAAAGAAGAAAUUCUUCUUUGACUUGAGACAUUACUUUUGGGAUGAUCCUCACCUUUAUAAGGAAGGAGUAGAUUGUGUUAUUAGACGUUGUGUACCUGAACAUGAACAGGGACAAAUCCUACAGAAGUGUCACUCCGAGGCCUACGGAGGACACCAUGCGGGAGAUAGAACUGCACAAAGGUAUUGCAAUCAGGUUUCUAUUGGCCCACUCUCUUCAAGGAUGCCCGUAAGUUUGUCUUGUCUUGUGAUGAAUGUCAAAGAGUAGGUAAUAUCGGUAAAUGUCAGGAAAUGCCUAUGAACUAUUCACUUGUCAUUGAACCAUUUGUUGUAUGGGGCUUUGAUUAUAUGGGACCUUUUCCAAAAUCCAAUGGGUAUACUCAUAUCCUAGUUGUUGUUGAUUACGUCACUAAGUGGGUAGAAGCUAUCCCCACUAGUAGUGCUGAUCACAACACUUCUAUCAGGAUGCUUAAAGAAGUUAACUUCCCUAGAUUUGGAGUCCCUAGAUAUCUAAUGACCGACGGUGGUUCACAUUUCAUUCAUGGUGCUUUCCGUAAAACGCUUGCUAAGUACGAUGUUAACCAUAGAAUUGCGUCUCCCUAUCACCCCUAGUCUAGUGGUCAAGUAGAGCUAAGCAAUAGAAAGAUUAAACUGAUUCUGCAAAAGACUGUCAACAGGUCUAGAAAGAAUUGGUCUAAGAAGCUCGAUGAUGCACUGUGGGCUUAUAGAACUGCCUAUAAGAAUCCCAUGGGCAUGUCUCCGUACAAAAUGGUGUACAGUAAAGCAUGUCAUUUACCUCUUGAGCUAGAGCAUAAAGCUUAUUGGGCAAUCAAAGACCUCAACUUUGAUUUCAAGCUUGCCGGUGAGAAGAGGUUAUUUGACAUUAGCUCGCUUGAUGAAUGGAGAACUCAGGCAUAUGAGAAUGCCAAGUUGUUCAAAGAGAAGGUUAAGAGGUGGCAUGAUAAGAGGAUACAAAAGCGUGAGUUCAAUGUAGGUGAUUAUGUCUUGCUAUAUAACUCUCGUUUAAGAUUCUUUGCAGGCAAGCUUCUCUCUAAAUGGGAAGGUCCCUAUGUUGUUGAGGAAGUAUAUCGUUCCGGUGCUAUCAAGACCAACAACACGGAAGGUAAUUGUCCGAGAGUUGUAAAUGGGCAGAGAAUCAAGCAUUAUAUCUCAGGUACUCCCAUAAAUGUUGAAAUCAAUAUCAUCAAUACCAUAACUCUAGAAGAAUACCUAAGGGACAUUUAUCAGCCUGUUUCAGACUCCGAAAACGAAGAGUAUGUGAUUCGGUAAGAAAACAGAGUCCAAAACUUUUCGAGUAGAAUUUUUUCUCCGUUUUGGAAUAUUUGAAAAAAAAAUUGGAAGUAGUCCGGAAAGUGCGCGAGGAGGCGACAAGCCUUCCCGGCGCGGGCCCACCCCCUGACCGCGCCGGGAGGGCUUGUGGCCACCUCGUGCACCUCCCGGACUCCGUUUUCGUGCGGAGUACUCCUUCUGGUCUGGAAAAAAUCAAUAUAUACUCUCCCGUUUGGUCUGACCCCUACAUCACGCAGAUUUCCUCUGUUUUUUGUUUCGAGCCUGUUUCUGUUGUAGAUCUAGAUCGCUAUGACUUCCCCAAAAGCUCCGAAGGACAAGAUCUUCGAGAAGGUCAUCAAUACCUACCUCACGGGAGUGUUGCAACACCCUCAAUCUAUCGAGAUGCGUGAGGGGAUGUUGCACAUCCGUGAUGUUGAGGGGCCCAAGAAGACCGGAAGCGUGGAGAUGAGGCUCGAAGCAAUGGAGCAACAAGUCUUCAAGUGCCAAGGGAUGGUGGAGCAUGGACUCAAUGCCAACCACAUGAUGAUCAUGGAGUUCACCAACAAGCACAUGAUUGAUGCCAAUGACAUUGGGAAGCACCUCUCCAGGCUCUAUGACAGGAUUGAUCAACUCCAUGCCCAGAUCUAUGACCUGCAGAACCAAAACUGUGAGUAUGAGUAUAGAUUUAAAUCAAUACAGUUGGCUGCAGAUUUGAGGAUUCCAGAGACUCGUUCAUCUUUCCAUGAUGGAGCACCUAUGCCUUGGAAGACGUAGGAUCAAGCCCAUGUUGCAACAACUCCACCACCAUCACCUCCAAAGGAAGACAGCUAAGCAUGGGUAUGGGCAAUCCCCUUGGCUGGUGCCAAGCUUGGGGGAGUUGCCCCGGUAUCGUAUCACCAUCACAUAUUUUCCCUUUACCUUUGUUUUAAGUUUUCCUUUUCAGUUUUCUCUUUCUCUAGUAGAUUAAAAGUCUUAGUGUUUUAGUCUUGAGUUUUGCUUUGUGUCACCCCCGAUGUAUUCGAGCUCGUGAUGUAUGUGCAAGCAAUAAAAAUUGCUCUCUAGUUUGUAUGAUCUAUUAGUGUGUGGAAAAUAAGCUUUGUACGAACCUGUGAUGAGGAAGACAUAAAAGCGACAGACUGCAUAAUAAAGCUCUUUAUCAUAGGAGGCAAUAUAAAGUGACGUUCCUCCACACUAAGAGGACACACAUCCAAACCUCAAAAGCGCAUGACAACCUCUGCUUCCCUCUGCGAAGGGCCUAUCUUGUACCUUUACUUUUUGCCCUUGAAAGAGUCAUGGUGAUCUUCACCAAUUCCUUAUUUCGCCUUUAUCUUGGCUAACGUCAUAUGCUUGGGAAAGAUCUAUAUUCAUAUGUCAACUUGGAAGUAAGUAUUCAUGAUUUAUUAUUGUUGACAUUACCCUUGAGGUAAGCAGUUGGGAGCCAAAACUGUAAGCCCCUAUUUUUCUCUAUAUUCAGCUGAAACUUUGAUCUCAUGAGUACCGCGUGAGUUGCAGCAAUUGUAGAGAACGAAAGAAUGAUUGAGUAUGUGGAUUUGCUUUACAAGCUCUUAUUUGACUAUUUCUAAUGUUGUGAUAAAUUGCAAUUGCUUCAAUGACUAAAGGCUAUCGGUUGUUACUUCUCGGUAAGGUUCUUGAUCCAUGCUUUACUUUGUGAAGGAAUUAUCACUUUAGCAUGAGAGAUUAUAUGUUGGUAUGGCUGUUCUGGUCAUGAUCAUGAUGCAUGCAUGUUCGUAUCUUGUUUUGUCGACACCUCUCUCCCUAAACAUGUGGACAUAUUUAUUGAGCUAGGCUUUCGCUUUAGGACAAGCGAGGUCUAAGCUUGGGGGAGUUGAUACGUCCAUUUUGCAUCAUGUUUUCAUGUUGAUAUUUAUCGCUUCUUGGGCUGUUAUUUCACUUCACGGUACAAUACUUAUGCCUUUUCUCUCUUAUUUUGCAAGGUUUACAUGAAGAGGGAGAAUGCCGGCAGCUGGAAUUCUGGCGUGAAAGAGGAGCAAAGUUGAGAUACCUAUUCUGCGCAACUCCAAACGUUGUAAAAAUCAACGAGGAUUUUUUUUCUGGAUUUAUAAAAAUACUGGGCCAAAGAAGCGCCAGAAUGGGCGCCAGCAAGUGGCCACAAGCCUGCACGGUGCGGCCACCCCCAGGCCGCGCCAAGGGGGCUUGUGGGCAGCCUGCUGGCCCAUUGGCCCCCCUCUUCUGCUAUAUGAAGGGUUUCGUCCAGAAAAAAAAAUCAAGGAGGAGCUUUUUCGUGGAUUCGCCGCCGCCACGAGGCGGAACUUGAGCAGAACCAAUCUAGAGCUCCGGCAGGACGAUCCUGCCGGGGAAACUUCCCUCCCGGAGGGGGAAAUCAUCGCCAUCGUCAUCACCAACACUCCUCUCAUCGAAGGGGACUCGUCACCAUCAACAUAUUCAUCAACACCAUCUCAUCUCCAAACCCUAGUUCAUCUCUUGUAACCAAUCUCCCUCUCGCGACUCCGAUUGGUACUUGUAAGGUUGCUAGUACUGUUGAUUACUCUUUGUAGUUGAUGCUAGUUGGAUUACUUGGUGGAAGAGUUUAUGUUCACAUCCUUGAUGCUACUCAUUACCUCUCUGGUCAUGAAUAUUAUUAUGCUUUGUGAGUAGUUACUUUUGUUCCUGAGGACAUGGGAUAAGUCAUGCUAAUACUAGUCAUGUGAAUUUGGUAUUCGUUCGGUAAUUUGAUGUGUUGUAUGUUGUUUUUCCUCUAGUGGUGUUAUGUGAACGUCGACUACAUAACACUUCACCAUUAUUUGGGCCUAGAGGAAGGCAUUGGGAAGUAGUAAGUAGAUGAUGGGUUGCUAGAGUGACAGAAGCUUAAACCCUAGUUUAUGCGUUACUUCGUAAGGGGCUCAUUUGGAUCCACUAGUUUAAUGUUAUGGUUAGACUUUGUAUUGAUUCUUAUUUCGUAGUUGCGGAUGCUUGCGAGAGGGGUUAAUAAUAAGUGGGAUGCUUGUCCAAGUAAGGGCAGUACCCAAGCGCCGGUCCACCGACAUAUCAAACUAUCAAAGUAACGAACGUGAAUCAUAUGAACAUGAUGAAACUAGCAUGACAGAAAUUCAUGUGUGUCCUCGGGAGCGCUUUUCCUCCUAUAAGACUUUGUCCAGGCUUGUCCCUUGCUACAAAAGGGAUUGGGCCACUUUGCUGCACCAUUGCUACUUUUGUUACUUGUCGCUCUCUACGAAUCAUCUCACCACUCAAUCACUUGUUACCGAUAAUUUCAGUGCUUGCAGAUAUUUCCUUGCUGAAAACCACUUGUCGGAUCCUUCUGCUCCUCGUUGGGUUCGACACUCUUACUUAUCUAAAGGACUACGAUUGAUCCCCUAUACUUGUGGGUCAUCAGCAGGCCGUCCCAGGUAGUGAUGGACGCCUUCGGGAGGUUCAGGAGCCAGGAGAGUGCGCCGCCCUUGAGCGCCAUGGGGAACCAACACGCCAUGACCUUGUCGCCUCCGCCCGCCGCCUUGAUGCUCAGCGUGUAAAGUUGCAGGAACUCAGCCGGGUCUUGGUUGCCAUUGUAGCGCGGGGGCAGGCCGGGGCUUGAACUUGCAGGGCAACUUGGCGGGGUAGAGCUCGGGGGCGAUGGCGGGGCACCCCACCGGUCCGACGGGUAUUGUGUGCACGGGAGCCAUCGAGUCUUGUUGCUCCACGGGGUCUGCUUCGAGCGGGGUGCGCUCACGACGCGUAAUUUGCAGUGCUGGGGGCGCGCACACAUCGGCGCGGGGCCGUGGAACCACCUGGCAGCUUGCUUCGUCUCAAGGUCCCGCCCUCGGUUCGUGAGGCCGGUCGCGGGGUCGCGCUUCCUGUCUGGGCUCGGGGUCCGCGACGCGCCGUGGAGGUGGGGGUGGCGCGUCUUCCUCCUCAUUGUUUGUCAGGGACGGUUGGGGUCGGAGUGAGAAGGAGAGUGCCGCGGAGUCACCGGCGGCGAUGAUGAGCUCCUCGAUGCGCUGGAGCCAGUCGUCGUGGCAGUUAGGAGCAGGCCGGUAGCGGGGCAGCUCGGUGGCCAUGGAAAGCGUGCGCCGGCCGUGGGGCAUCUCUGGCCGGUCGCGCGAUACCUACCCUGAAGGUCGGGCGAGUGACGGAGUGGCGGUGCGGCCAUCCGCCUGCUCGGUCGCCGGCUGGGAGGAACCUUGUUGCUCUUGAACCUCGGGGCCGGUGGCAGCAUUCACCACGGGUGACGGCGACCGGCGCGCCGGCAUCGAUGGGCGCUUUCUGGGCGAUGCGGGUGGCACGGUGCUCCACGCGAACCCGGCGAGCGUCAACCAUCGGAGCGGCAGAGCUUGGUAAAGAUGGAUUUUGGACGGAACCUCGACAUACACCCUACCUGGCGCGCCAAAUGUCAGAUUUCGGGCUUCACAAAACCCUAAGGAUUCGAACACAGGGGCGUGUACGAAGAUCUCUCCCUGCUCGGCCUCACCUAGCUCACUACUCGAUGGAAACGACGAAGGACUCGCUCGAUGGUGAGGGGAACGCAAAACACGACAGUUUACCCAGGUUCGGGCCGCUGCGAAGCGUAAAACCCUACUCCUCUUUUGGUGGAUUGCCUCUCUCGGAGGUGGGUGGAUGAACUAGUACAGUGCUCUCGAGCCUCCGGAGGCCAAGUGAUUGAGUGUGUUGCUCUUGAUUGGGAAUGAACUGCCCCCCCCCCCCCCCCGGNNNNNNNNNNNNNNNNNNNNNNNNNNNNNNNNNNNNNNNNNNNNNNNNNNNNNNNNNNNNNNNNNNNNNNNNNNNNNNNNNNNNNNNNNNNNNNNNNNNNNNNNNNNNNNNNNNNNNNNNNNNNNNNNNNNNNNNNNNNNNNNNNNNNNNNNNNNNNNNNNNNNNNNNNNAAGUAUCCUACCCUCUCUCUUUAUAGUGGAGGCCAGGGUCCUCUUCCCUCAUAGCUUCGAGGGGAAGGGGUCCUAAAGCGGCCAAUUUUGAAGGGGGGCAAGGGAACAUGCUCCCCUGCCCAAAGGUGAUCUUCGCCUGCAAAGUAACUGCUCGCGCUGUAGGGAUGGGCCCGAAGGUGACGCUUGCCCUACUGGUGGGCGGUGGCGGCUUCGUUGCAGCAGAAAGGAAACCUUUGGAAGAUGCCUUUGGAACCCCUGUACGCUUCCGCCCCCUUUGCACUAAAGGGGAAACUGUUCCAUCCUGCCAUUUGUUGCUCGCAUGUCCUUCCCCAGCGUCACCCUUGACUCGUGAGGCCCGACCUUGCCUCGGAAUAUCCGCCACUCCGGAGGGGUCGUGAGGAGGCCCCGUGCAGGUCUUGACAAUGCUUCCCAUCGUGAGGCUUGGCCCCUCACAAGGGCCUUGCCUUGAACGGUGUCGGGCCCGUCGGUUUGUUUUUGUGAGGUGAGCCUGCCCUGGGCCACACGCAGGCAGGUCUGGGUACCCCCAUUCCUAGAACGCCGACAACUAGAAAAACCACAAAAAUCUUACUAUAGUAUGUUCCUUGAGAGUCUUUGCGUAGGAGAGGAUAGAUAUGUGACACAAGCUAGAAUAAAAAGUAUUCAUUUUCCCUGUAUUCGCUGCUUUGCAUUGUUUAAUGAAACAUGUGUAGUAGGUAAGCACGACUAUAAUGCACUUUGUGCUCCCGACUUGAGUCUCGUUCACACUACGGUUACUCGUGAGAGAUGAUACAACCUUCGUGCAAGUGUUGCUCGCAGCCUGCACCUUAAUGCGGGUAUUUGUCGGGGAUAUAACCCCACGAUAUAAUUCACCCUAUUGGGUCGGGUCAUCCUGAUGGCGUCUCAUAAGCAAUACACAAGGUGGGCUGAAACUCGGAGGAACAAGACCGGCAAGGCAGCUUACCAAGUAAGUCGGUUUGCGGCCCAAUGUGAGAAGACGGCGAAUCAAGGCCCAAGAGGUGUAAAGUCACCUAGAGUUUCCUUGCUUAGGAGGCAAGGCGAGUUAGAGAUAUACUUGGUCACGAAUCAUAACACGACUCGGACCCUUGUAAGCCAAGGGCCUCGACCUAUAUAUAAAGGCGAGGCCUUGAUACAAAUAGACUUAAGUUGCAAUAGAUCAAUAGCUAGGUCAAGUGAAUCCGCUCCCUUGUAAUUAAUAUCCAAGCAAUAAGCAGAAAGUAGGAGUAGGCUUUUACCUCGAUCAUGAGGGGCCAAACCAGGGUAAACUGUAUGUCUCGAUUCCGAUCAACCCCAACAAGCUAACCAUCCAGUUGCGAUGGCCUCACGUCUAAGUCCUCACACAAGGACAUGUGUGGUGACCAAACCACAAUAGUUGGCACCCACCAUGGGGACAGCGCACUAUGGUUUUGAGUUCUUGAAGGGCUCUUUCCCACGGCUCGAGGGAUACGCCAUUGACAAGAUGACAAAGAGCCACCACGAAAAACUCUACAUCGACGAUGUUGUGUGGGGUCCCGAGGCCGACUCAAUCGAGUACGGGUACCAGGUCCCCUUUGGCAAGAUUCGUGUCUUCAUGAGCAAGAUCGGCGAGUCAGAAUCCGAGUUGAACAUCUGCACCGACCUCAUUGAGUUGGCUCGGCAUGCGCAACCCGCCCGGAGUCAAGUCGGACAGAAGCAUGUUUUUGUUGGUUUUGUGCAAGGUGUAGAACUUGAGGAAAACUCUGUGUCUGGAGGAGAGACUCUUGUUUAUAUAGAUGAUGAGUCCUCAACCAAAGAGACGGAGUCGGUUUAUCUGCUUGAAGAUAGCGGGCUUGGGGGCUACUCCAAUGGCAAUAGUAUUCCGGACCCCAAUGAGCCGCCGUAUCGAGCCGCCAUCUUCAUGAACGGGACGACGCCGGCUCUCCACACUAUAGUGGUCGAAGCAACAACAAUAGUUGACCCUUCAGCACCGGCUUCUGGGGUAUCUGAUUCGGUUAGGCCACCGACUCAAGUUUUGUCUGAGCCGAUGACCACCCUGACAACCUUACUAGGGACCUAGAUCACUGUGGAAAAUCAAGCAAGACGCAAUGCGGAGAUUGCAAAGAUACAUGAACAGAUGACCAAGUCUGAGGAAGACAUUAACGCUGAGAUCACCUGGACAGCAACACUUCAAGCUCAGGUUAAUGUGGAAGCACAUCGUCUGAAGAAGGAGGCAUGGCGUCUUAGCCUUGAUCAAAACACAUCCAAUGCAGUUCUUCGCCGGAGGCACGAUACCCGUUUACCCCCAGUCUAUGAGCCCACACGUUUGCUCAACUCUCCAGGAGCAUGCCCAAGUACUCCACAAGCACCAGUUAUACCCCAAUUGACUUAUGUGAUGCCUGGGGCAGGGUGGCAGCUCAACCUCAUCGGCCAGAGCCAGCACGGAGGGAAGAGCCGGUCCUAGACCUGCCCCUAGUCCACACGACACUCAUGUCUACUGCACAACUUUAUUCUUGUAGACUAUGUUGGGCCUCCAAGCGCAGUGUUUUGUAGGACAGUAGCAAUUUUCCCUCAAGUGGAUGACCUAAGGUUUAUCAAUCCAUGGGAGGUGUAGGAUGAAUAUGGUCUCUCUCAAACAACCCUGCAAUCAAAUAAUAAAUACUCUCUUGUGUCCCCAACACACCCAAUACAAUCGUAAAUUGUAUAGGUGCACUUGUUCGGCGAAGAGAUGGUGAUACAAGUGUAGUGAUGAUAGUAGAUAUAUUUUUUGUAAUCUAAUAAUAUAAAAACAGCAAGGUAGCAAGUGUAAAGCGAGCCUCAUUUUCUAUGGCAUGAGAUUCGGCUUGCUAGCUUUCAGUACAAGCGAGCCUUUCCUCAUGCCUCCUUCAUCCAGGCUCUUAUUGAUCAUGUAGCUGAUUUCUCUGUGGCUGUCACUCACACACAUCGCAAGUGGGUCAUUCCCGCUCACAUGGCGGAUAACUAUGCUCUCAAGAAAACCCCCUCAUCCUCCACAUCCACUCGUCGCACUGCUGCCCGGUCCGCCACCCCCUCAUCUAGCUCCGCUCCUCUCGGUCGCAUUGCCAAAUUCCUUGGCAAGGCCCAUUCUGCUUUGAUGAAGGCCGUCUCUUUCCAGUGUGGCCAAACCCAUGAUGUGGUUUCUCGCUUAGUCUCCUCCAAGAAUGCUCUCAAGGCUCGUCUGAGAGCCUCGGGCGCUCUUGAUGUGAGUGAUGAUGAGGCCACUCCUGCUGCUCCUCCUACUGAUUUUGGCUUCCCAUCUGGUCCUGAGUGGGCUGAUUUCCUUGACGAGGCUGGUGGCAGUGGCUUGCCUAAUGAUGAUGAUGAUGAUGAUGAUGAGCUCUGAGCAUGGUUGUUGCUGGUGGUAUCUCCCUUUUUGGUACUUGGUGCCAAAGCGGGAGUAAUGUAUCGUAGUUUUUAGUCUUUGGAGAUUUAAUGUAAUGGAUAAACUCAUGUAUGGCUACUUAUGAAUGAUUGUGAUUUGCUAUGGAUUGCUAUGAUAUCAUCAUCGACUAUUAUGUUUUGCUCUACUACUUCUAUGAUGAUCUAUUAUCUUUACAUGUUGAUCCAUUGGUUCUUCGAUAUUUUAUCAUGCAUAUACUAAGGGGGAGCUCCGUACUAAAUAUCUCCUAGGCUAUAAUGUAUGUUAAAUCUUUUUGAGACCUAUGUAAAUGUUGUCAUCAACUACCAAAAAGGGGGAGAUUGAAAGUGCAUGCUAUGCCCCUAAUCGACUUUUGGUGUUAAUGACAACACAUACAUAGGAAACUAAUCCUAUUUGUUGAGUGUAUCUCAGGAUGGCAAGUACUUUAGUAAAUUGAGAAUUAUGUGCCAAAGGUUGUCUCAGAAGAUUGGGAUUUAUAAUUCGAGAAGGCUCGGGAUUAUGAAAAGAUGAUGUAGACUAGUCUUUUGAGUUUAGUGAUAUUGAGUAUAGGGAUCUCGCACUAUUAAGAGGGGAUCACAGGUUUUGCGAUGAACUUGAUCAUACCACAUCUUUACUAUCAUACCCAAUACCACACAUUCUCCACUCUGUUCUUCUAUCAAAACAGGUCUAUUGCCUCGGACAUCCGGCUCCCUCCGGACGUCCGAGGGCCGGACGACCGACAGGCUUCGGAAAUCCGCAGCCCUUCACCAGAAGUUUGUGAGUCAUAUAACUCGGAAAUCCGGCUCCCUCCGGACAUCCGAGGGCCAGACGUCCGACCAGCCCCGGAAAUCCGGAACCCUGCACCAGUAGAAGUUGAGUUCUAUAACUCGGAUUUCCGGCUCCCUCCGGACGUCCGAGGGCCGGACGUCCGACCCCCUUCGGAAAUCCGGAACCUACCACGAGAAGAAGUUGAGUCGUAUAACUCGGAUUUCCGGUCCUCUCCGGACGUCCGGUCGUUGUUCAAGUCAAAACAGUUUCAGUCAUAUCUACAUGCCUCGGACGACUGACCCCUGUCGGACGUCCGACCCCUCGCGGACGCUCGGACGUCCGGCAACUGUCGGACGUCCGGACCCUAUGUGACUUAAAGUGCCCCCAACGGCUGGAUUUCACUCCCCACUAUAUAUACUCUUCUCCCACCUCGGGAAAGGGUGUUCAACACAGCUAAGACACAUCCAAGAACACCUUUCCUCUCACUCACUCUUGUCUACACCAAAUCCUAGAUCCCAAGAGCAUUUGUGAGUCCUUUUGAGUGUUGUUCCAAUCAAAAGAUAGAUCGUCUCCCUCUCCUCCUUCCCACCAAAGUGAUUCGUGAUUUGAGCAAGUUUUGAGCAAUCCCCGUGAUCUUGUUACUCUUGGAGGUUGGAGACUCCUAGGCGGUAGGAGUCUUCGGAGAGGAAUCAAACCAUUGUGAUUUCCCCCGGAAAGUUUGUGAAGGUUUGGAAGCCACCUCAAGGCUUACCACUAGUGGUUGAGAAACGCUUUCGUGGAGUUAUCUCAAAGGGAGAAUAGGGUGAGCCUUUGUGGCAUUGGUGUGCCUUCGUGGUAACAUCCGCCCCUCUAAUGGUGACGUAGCUUCCCUCCAAGGAAGUGAACAUCCGGAUACAUCCUUGUCUCUCUUGGAGUUUCGGUUAUUCCUAACCCUAACUCUCUACUUGUGUUAAUCCUUAUUACGUACUUGUAUUUGAUUAUUGUUUACCGCUUGUCUUACUUCACUCUAAAUAGCUUACUCCUUGUUGUAGCAAUUAUUAGGCCUACACUCAUAUUCCGCACUUUUGCCUAAAAUUGCUAAGUAAUUAUUAAAAUUUGGAUUUGUACCUAUUCACCCCCCCCCCCUCUAGGUCCAUCUCGAUCCUUUUCAACAAGGCUCGUGAUAUAUCAAGAUAAUGACAUAUCAAGAACAUGAGAGAGAGAGAGAGAAUAAACACAUAGCUACUAGUACAAACCCUCAGCCUCGAGGGUGGACUACUCCCUCCUCGUCAUGGCCUCCGCCGGGAUGAUGAAGAUGACUACCGGAGAUGAUUUCCCCUCUCUCGCACGGUACUGGAACGUCUCCAGAUUGGUUUUUCAUGUCUACAGAGGCCUGCGGCAGCGAAACUUCUCGUCUAGGGUUAUUUCUGGAGGUUUCUAUAUUUAUAGGAUUUUUGGGCGUUGGAAUCACGCCAAGAUGGGCCAGGAGGUUCCCACUAGAUACCAUGCCGCGCUAGGGGGCUCGCGUGCCCUGGUGUCUAAUGGGCACCAGGGGUCCCCCUCUGGUGGUUCUUUGCUCUAGUAUUCUCUUUUCCACCAAAAAAUCAUCAAAAAGUUUCGUCCAAUUCCGAUAACUUUUAUUUCUGCACACAAAACAACACCUCGGUAGUUCUGUUGAAAACAUCGUUAGUCCGGGUUAGUUCUAAAUAAAUCAUAUAAAGUGCAGCAAAACCAUAUAAAAGUAUUGUAAACAUAGGCAGACAUGCCAUGAAUACUUCAUAAAUUAUCGAUACGUUGGAGAUGUAUCACCGUCCCCAAGCUUAAUUACUACUCGUCCUCGAGUAGGUAAAUGAUAAAAGAAAUAAUUUAUGAAGUGUGAAUGCUAGCAUAGUGCAUAAGUUUGAUCAAUGAUAAUUUCAAUCACUUUUCCUAUCAUCAUAAUGCAACUCUUUCUCAUAAAACUCAUCAUGAUAAAGUAGCAACAAAUUCACAUGUUAUGGUUCAAACAAUGAACUCUCUUGAAACUUAACAACCUAUGUUCUUAGUCACCAAACAAUUGCAAUUCAACUUAUUCUCAACAAAGUCUAAGUAAGAGCUCCACAUACUCAAUCAUCAUAUAGCCUUCUAUGAUUGCUAGUACUCAAAGCAUAUUUUUAGAACAAAUGGCAUCCAUCAAACACAGAGAAAUAUAGGGGCUUAAUGCUUCGCCUCCCAACUCAUUUAUCAUAGAGAUAAUUGUCAACAAUAAUAAGUCAUGAUCAAAUAUAUUUGACUGGCCAUAUGUGCCUAGAUCUUUCCCCACCACAUGAUCCUUGCCAACUAGAGAAUAAUUGAGGUUGAAAUGAGAAUGCAUACUAUUAACUAUUGCAUAAAAGUAAAUAUUGGAAAGUAAAAGGUAGGCCCUUCGUAGAGGGAAGCAGAGGUUGUCAUGCGCUUUUUUGUUUUGUAUGCACAAUCCCUUAAUGCAAAAGAACAUCACGUUAUAUUGCCCCUUAUGAUAGCAACCUUUAUUAUGCAGUCUGUCACUUUUAUUACUUUGCCAUCAGAAGUUCAUACAAUGCUCAUUUUCUCUUGCACUAAAUGAUCAAACAUAUUUAGAAGCAAUUUUUAUUUCCUUUUUGCACCGAUGACAACUUACUUGAAGGAUUUUAUUUAAUCCAUAGGUAGGUAUGGUGGACACUCAUGGCAAGAAACUGGGUUUAAGGGCUUUGGGAUGCACAAGUAGUAUCUGUACUUAGUGCGAAUUUUUGGUUAGCAAAAGAUCCUAAGCAAACACCACAUGUUGGAGGAUCCAUAACAAUAUAACUUCUAUGCAAAUAUACACAACCAUAACUCAUUGCGUUGUCUUCCUUGUCCAACUUCAACUAAUUUGCCCAAGUUUGAAAAUAAUUAAUGGGUAUUCACAAUCAUAGAAGAUGUCCAAGAUAAUAUAUUUAUAUGUGAAAGUUAUCUUCCUUGUACCAAUCAAUCAUGAAUUGCUUGUAUGACCAAUAUUGUGACUGUCAAGCUUCAAAAGAUUUCACUUUCUAAACCCAAUGUGAAGCUACUACUAGGCAUGACUUGAACAUAUAAUUUCAACUUCAUGGUAUUCAACUCAUUCAACAAUUUACUCAUAGGAUAUAAGUGAAGCACAAGAGCAAACAAUCAAACUACUUCCAAAAGAUACAAGUGAAGAUCAAUGAGUAGUUAAACAAUCAAGUAGCUAUGUGAGGACUCUCUCUUAAUAAAGAUUUCCAGAUCUGAUAUUUUAUUUCAAACAACAAAUAAAACAAAAGGCACUCCAAGAAUAGCACAUAUCAUGUGGACAAAUAAAAACUUAGGCUCAACAUAGGCUAACCGAUAUUUGUUCCAUGAAGAGAGGUUGGAUGCGUAGCAUCCCCAAGCUUAGAUGCUUGAGACUUCUUGAAAUAUUUACUUGGGGAAGAGCAUACCCCCGGGUGGAAGAAGUUGCAUGAGAAGAAAAUUGCCUCAGAGGGACAGUUGAAAGACCUCGUAGCGGAACUUAUGAAAGACUUGGCUAAGCUCUACAUCGAGUGUGAGGAGCUCGUGAAGGAAUUAGUGGCUCGUGUGAAGGAACUUCAUGCGUAUAUGAAGGAUAGCAUCGACGCUCUCAAGCAAAAAACCUGCAACAUGGCCACAAUGCGUAAGAUGAUGGAGGAGAGUCAAGAGGAUAUGAAAGUCGUGGAGGCGAUGAAUAAGGGGAUUGGGGAACUCCGAUCCAAGCAAUCCAUCAAGAAUUAGAUAGGAGCGUCCCUGAUCGUUGUUUGUGUCUUCCUUCUUCUGCCACUUCCUUCUUCUUUUGCCCCUGUGUCUUUUGGGAGUUCCCACAUGUAGCAUUUUUUAUUAUCCUAAAUAUGUAAGACAAUUAUUAUCCUUUGCCGAUGCGGAUUUGUCGUUGUAUUAUUUUGUUCUUAAGUACAUGUAUACGAGUUGAAAAUAGGCGAAAAGUCAAGUUCUUAGCGAGGCACGAACAAAACAAUGCUUACAUUGAGUGGGGCAAUGGGAUCACAAGCAACUAGUCCCUUCGUCCAGGCACAUUAACCGCAUGAUAAACAGCGGGUCGGACACAGUUAAUUCAGAAGUUGGGAGCAAGGCGAGCGGAGGGUGGAGGUCAUAGUAUCACUUCCCGAUGAGCCUACACAGCAGACUACUCUCAUGCACCCCGUCGAGUCUGUGCGAUGGACAGAUAUCACGCGUCUCGUCGAGCCUGCGCGGCAAACAACUCUCAUGUUCUCCGCUGAGCGUGUGCGGCGGAAAGUUCGCACACGCCCUACCAUCAAACAGCUGCACGCAAGGAACACCCAUAUCAAGUAAAAAAAAGUUGGAUGUGUGGCACCAAAUGGUUAUCAGAACGCACACGAUUCACGUAAUGCAAUCUUUUGUGAUAAUAAUGUGGCAACUAUCUAUACUAAAAUGUCUAUGUUGCUUGUUAUUGUGUGAGCCUUCUCAAAUUGGAAAACAUACGGUACCAAGGCCUAUAGGUGUCAUGUCAUGACACCGGGGUAAGUUUCAUGAAUUUCAUAUGAGUUUUGUAUUUACAGGAAUUCAAAAAACAAGAUUCUCAAUGAUUGCGGCUGAGACACCAUGCCUGAAUAUUUGUACUUCAUCCACAUUCAUUGCAUGGGACCUAAGAAAGCACCCAGGGACACAAAAAUGAUUUUUCAACAAAUUAUGUUGCACUAGAGCAUGUGCUUCUAGUACAAGAUUUGGAUGACCCAUAUUAGAUCCCUAGAAAACUCAACUGAUUUAUAAAAAGGGCCAAAUGCCCCCUACAUAAUUCCAUAUUUCACCACGCCACCAAUACUAGUCUUUGUUGCAUAUAUAAAAAAUUCCAGUCAAGAGAAUACAUUGAAUGUAGUUUCACCCCAAAGGUGACAUGUUCCCUAUAGAAAUCACAAGUCUUCUUGCAUAAGCCUUGGCUUGUAAGAUGCAUGUCCCAAUACUUGUCUCAAAUUGAUCAUAAAAAUUAGCACGCCGUAUAUGUGUCGUGGCGUAACACUAGGUAAGUUUCAUGAAUUUCAAACGAGUUUUGGAUUUUCGAGGUUUAACAACCAAGAUUCUCAAUGUUUGCGGCCUAUUCACGAUGCCAAGAUGUUUGUAAAUCAUUCACAUCCAGUGCAUGGGAUCUAAAUAGGGACCCAAUGACACAAAAAAUGUUUUUCAACACAUUUUGGUGCCCUCGAGCAUGUGCUUGUAGUUCAAAUUUGAGUUUUGCACAUUAAGUGCCUAAAAAACUCAAUGUCAUUUUCGCCCACAAAUGUGACAUGUUCCCUAUCGAAAUGAUGAGGCUUAUCAUGGGAAGCUCCAAUUUGUAAGAGAUUUGUCCCAAAAUAUGUCCCACGUUGGUCAAAAAAUUUAGCACAACGUACAUGUGGUGUGUCAAGACACUUGGGUAAGUUUCAUGAAUUUCAGACGAGUUUUGGAUUUGUGGGGAUAUAAAAACCCGAAUCCUCAAUGUUUGGAGCCUAGUCACAAUGUCGAGAUGGUCGUAAUCCAUUCACAUUCAUUGCAUGGGACGUAAACAGGGACCCAAGGACACAAAAACGAUUUUCCAACCCAUUUUGGUGUCGUGGAGCAUGUACUUGUAGUUCAAAUUUCAAUUAUGCCCAUUAAUUGUCUAGCAAACUCAAUUAACGUAUAAAGGGGCCAAACGAGCCGUGAAUGAUUACACAUUUUAGCACUGCACUUGUAUUAGUCGAUGUUGCAUGUAGAGAAAAAAAUUAAGAAAUUAAGAGGCGCUGAAUGUCGUUCCGCCUACACAGGUGACAAUUUCCCUACUGAAACCAUGAUGCUUCUUGAGAGAAGCUCUCGUGUGCAAGAGACUUGUCCCAAAUUGGUCAAAAAUAUACCAUGUCAUAUAAGUGUCGUGUCAUGACAUCGGGGUAAGUUUCAUGAAUUUCACACGAGUUUUGGAUUUUGGGGGAUUUAAAAGUCAAUUUUCUCAAUGUUUGCGACCUGGUCACAACGCCGAGAUGUUUGCAAUCCAUUCACAUUCAUUGCACGAGACCUAAAUAGGGACCCAAGGACACAAAUAUGAUUUUUAACCCAUUUUGGUGACAUGGAGCUUGUGCUUUUAGUUCAAAUUUAAAUUAUGCACGUUGAUGACCCACAAGUAUAGGGGAUCAAUCGUAGUCCUUUCGAUAAUUAAGAGUGUCGAACCCAACGAGGAGCAGAAGGAUCUGACAAGUGGUUUCAGCAAGGAAAUAUCUGCAAGCACUGAAAUUAUUGGUAACAAGUGAUUGUGUGGUGAGAUGAUUCGUAGCAAGCAACAAGUAACAAAAGUAGCAACGAUGCAGCAAAGUGGCCCAAUCCCUUUUGUAGCAAGGGACAAGCCUGGCAAAGUCUUAUAGGAGGAAAAACGCUCCCGAGGACACACGGGAAUUUCUGUCAUGCUAGUUUCAUCAUGUUCAUAUGAUUCGCGUUCGUUACUUUGAUAGUUUGAUAUGUGGGUGGACCAACGCUUGGGUACUUCCCUUACUUGGACAAGCAUCCCACUUAUGAUUAACCCCUCUCGCAAGCAUCCACAACUACGGAAGAAGAAUUAAGACAAAGUCUAACCAUAGCAUUAAACUAGUGGAUCCAAAUCAGCCCCUUACGAAGCAACACAUAAACUAGGGUUUAAGCUUCUGUCACUCUAGCAACCCCAUCAUCUACUUACUACUUCCCAAUGCCUUCCUCUAGGCCCAAAUAAUGGUGAAGUGUUAUGUAGUCGACGUUCACAUAACACCACUAGAGGAAAAACAACUUACAACACAUCAAAAUAUCGAACAAAUACCAAAUUCACAUGACUACUAUUAGCAAGACUUAUCCCAUGUCCUCGGGAACAAAAGUAACCACUCACAAAGCAUAAUCAUAUUCAUGACCAGAGAGGUAAUGAGUAGCAUCAAGGAUCUGAACACAAACUCUUCCACCAAAUAAUCCAACUAGCAUCAACUACAAAGAGUAAUCAACACUACUGGCAACCUUACAAGUACCAAUCGGAGUCGCGAGACGGAGAUUGGUUACAAGUGAUGAACUAGGGUUUGGAGAUGAGAUGAUGCUGAUGAAGAUAUUGAUGGUGAUGAGUCCCCUCCAAUGAGAGGAGUGUUGGUGAUGACGAUGGCGACGAUUUCCCCCUCCGAGAGGGAAGUUUCCCAGGCACGAUCGUCCUGCCGGAGCUCUAGAUUGGUUCUGCUCAAGUUCCGCCUCGUGGCGGCGGCGAAUCCACGAAAAAGCUCCUCGCUGAUUUUUUUUUCUGGACGAAACCCUUCAUAUAGCAGAAGAGGGGGGCCAGUGGGCCAGCAGGCUGCCCACAAGCCCCCUUGGAGCGGCCUCGGGGGUGGCAGCGCCGUGCAGGCUUGUGGCCACCUACUAGCGCCCCUCUGGCGCUUCUUCAGCCUAGUAUUUUUUAUAAAUACGGAAAAAAAAUCCUCGUUGAUUUUACGGUGUUUGGAGUUGCGCAGAAUAGGUAUCUCAACUUUGCUCCUCUUUCAGGCCAGAAUUCCAGCUGCAUGCAUUCUCCCUCUUCAUGUAAACCUUGCAAAAUAAGGGAGAAAAGGCAUAAGUAUUGUACCGUCAAGUGAAAUAACAGCCCAAGAAGCGAUAAUACUAACAUGAAAACAUGAUGCAAAAUGGACGUAUCAACUCCCCCAAGCUUAGACCUCGCUUGUCCCCAAGCGAAAGCCUAGCUCAAUAAAUAUGUCCACAUGUUUAGGCAGAGAGGUCUCGACAAAACAAGAUACGAGCAUGCAUGCAUCAUGAUCAUGAUCAUAACAGCCAUACCAACAUAUAAUCUCUCAUGCUAAAGUGAUAAUUCCUUCACAAAGUAAAGCAUGGAUCAAGAACCUUACCGAGAAGUAACAACCGACAACCUUUAGUCAUUGAAGCAAUUGCAAUUUAUCACAACAUCAGAAAGAGUCAAAUAAGAGCUUGUAAAGCAAAUACACAUACUCAAUCAUUCUUUCGUUCUCUACAAUUGCUACAACGCACGUUGUACUCAUGAGAUCAAAGUUUCAGCUGGACACAGAGAAAGAUAGGGGCUUACACUUUUGCCUCCAAACUGCUUACCUCAAGGGUAACUUCAACAAUAAUAAUUCAUGAAUACUUACUUCCAAGUUGACAUAUGAAUAUAGAUCUUUCCCAAGCAUAUGAUGGUAGCCAAGAUAAAGGCGAAAUAAGGAAUUGGUGAAGAUCACCGUGACUCUUUCAAGGGAAAAAAGUAAAGGUACAAGAUAGGCCCUUCGUAGAGGGAAGCAGAGGUUGUCAUGCGCUUUUGAGGUUUGGAUGUGUGUCCUCUUAGUGCGGAGGAACGUCAUUUUAUAUUGCCUCCUGUGAUAAAGAACUUUAUUAUGCAGUUUGUCGCUUUUAUGUCUUCCUCGUCACAGGUUCGUAUGAAGCUUAUUUUCCACACACUAAUAGAUCAUGCAUAUUAGAGAGCAAUUUUUAUUGCUUGCACCGAUGACAACUUACUUGAGGGAUCUUAUUCAAUCCAUAGGUAGGUAUGGUGGACUCUCAUGGCAAAUCUGGGUUGAAGGUUUAUGGAUGCACAAGUAGUAUCUCUACUUGGUGCCGGAGUUUUGGAUAAUAUGAGGUGGAAGAAAUCGUCACAUGCUAAGGGAUCUCUAAUCAUAUAACAUUGUUCGGAGUCAAGCAAACACAAUUCAUUAUGUUGUCUUCCUUGUCCAACAUCUACUUGUAGGCAUGCAAUAGUUUAGUGAGUGUUCACAAUCAUAGAUGGUGUGAGAGAUGAUAUAUUUAUAUGUGAACCUAUCCUUCUUUAUCACUUCCUAUUAAUUGCAACAAUGACCAAGGUCUACGUUUGUCUACCCUCAACAUGUUUCAAUCAUCAUUCUUUUUAUAUGUGAAGCCAUCACUUCCCAUAAGAUCAUUACAUGAUCUUUCAUGCUUUUGUUCUUUUCUCACUCUUUUGAUCAUGGCAAGAGGCAUAUCCCUUCAACUAAGACACUCUUUAUUAUAUGGCUCACGAGCUCGAAUACAUCGGGGGUGACACAAAGCAAAACUCAAGACUAAAACACUAAGACUUUUAAACUACUAGAGAAAAAGAAAGAAAACUGAAAAGGAACAAACUAAAACAAAGGUAAAGGCAAAAGAUGUGAUGGUGAUACGAUACCGGGGCAACUCCCCCAAGCUUGGCACCAGCCAAGGGGAUUGCCCAUACCCACGCUCAGUUAUAUUCCUUUGGUGAUGAUGGUGGUGGAGUUGUUGCAACCUUUGAUUCCAAGAGGGCCAUCAAUCUUUGAUUUAUACCUUGGAGAUCUGUGAUAUAUUUCUCCAACAAAACAACUUCACGAGUGAGAUAAGUAUUGCGAGCAAGAGUUGUUUCACAAAACCUCAAGAGUUCAAUAAAGGAUGGAGACAGUAGGUCGAGGUAGGGUUGGAGGAAAUCCACUUCUUCAACUUCUUCCUUGUUGAGCACAGAUUGCACUUCAUCCCACGCGUGAUCUUUCUCCUUAUCUUUCUCCUUGGUUUCUUUAGGUAACCUCUCCUUAGCCUCCAUGACCUCCAUCCUUUUCAGAUCAGCAUGUAUUUCUCCAUAGACUUGAGGGAGAUUGUUCUCCCCCACAAAUUCCUGGGACGACAUCUUGUCCUAAAUCUGCGGCAGAAAACAGGCUCGAAACGAAAAACAGAGGAAAUCUGCGUGAUACGAGGGUCAGACCAAACGGGAGAGUAUAUAUUGAAUUUUUUCCAGACCAGAAGGAGUACUCCGCACGAAAACGGGGUCCGGGAGGCGCACGAGGUGGCCACAAGCCCUCCCGGCGCGGCCAGGGGGUGGGCCCGCGCCGGGCAGGCUUGUCGCCUCCUCGCGCACUUCCCGAACUAUUUCCAAUUUUUGUAUUUUUUCAAAUAUUCCAAAACGGAGAAAAUUUUGGACUCUCUUUUCAUACCGAAUCACAUACCUCUUCGUUUUCGGAGUCUCAAACAAACUGAUAAAUGUCCCGUAGGUAUUCUUCCGGAGUUAUGGUAUUGAUGAUAUUGCUUUCAACAUUUAUGGGAGUACCUGAGAUAUAAUGCUUGAUUCUCUGCUCAUUUACAACUCUCGGACAAUUACCUUCCGUGUUGUUGAUCUUGAUAGCACCGGAGCGAUAUACUUCCUCAACAACAUAGGGACCNNNNNNNNNNNNNNNNNNNNNNNNNNNNNNNNNNNNNNNNNNNNNNNNNNNNNNNNNNNNNNNNNNNNNNNNNNNNNNNNNNNNNNNNNNNNNNNNNNNNUUCCCAUUUAGAGAGAAGCUUGCCUACAAAGAAUCUUAAACGAGAGUUAUAUAGCAAGACAUAAUCACCUACAUUGAACUAACGCUUUUGUAUCCUCUUAUCAUGCCACCUCUUAACCUUCUCUUUGAACAACUUGGCAUUCUCAUAUGCCUGAGAUCUCCAUUCAUCAAGCGAGUUAAUAUCAAAUAACCUCUACUCACCGGCAAGUUUGAAAUCAAAGUUGAGCUCUUUGAUUGCCCAAUAAGCUUUAUGCUCUAGCUCAAGAGGUAAAUGACAUGCUUUACCGUACACCAUUUUGUACGGAGACAUGCCCAUGGGAUUCUUAUACGCAGUCCUAUAAGCCCACAGUGCAUCAUCGAGCUUCUUAGACCAAUUCUUUCUAGACCUGUUGGUAGUCUUUUGCAGAAUCAGGUUAAUCUCUCUAUUGCUUAGCUCUACUUGACCAGUGGACUAGGGGUGAUAGGGAGAUGCAAUUCUAUGGUUGACAUCGUACUUAGCAAGCGUUUUACGGAAAGCACCAUGAAUGAAAUGUGAACCACCAUCGGUCAUUAGAUAUCUAGGGACUCCAAAUCUAGGGAAAAUAACUUCUUUAAGCAUCCUGAUAGAAGUGUUGUGAUCAGCACUACUAGUGGGGAUAGCUUCUACCCACUUAGUGACGUAAUCAACAACAACUAGGAUGUGAGUAUACCCGUUGGAUUUUGGAAAAGGUCUUAUAUAAUCAAAGCCCCAAACAUCAAAUGGUUCAAUGACAAGUGAAUAGUUCAUAGGCAUUUCCUGACGUUUACCGAUAUUGCCUACUCUUUGACAUUCGUCACAAGACAAGACAAACUUACGCGCAUCCUUAAAGAGAGUGGGCCAAUAGAAACCUGAUUGGAAUACCUUGCGUGCAGUUCUAUCUCCCGCAUGGUGUCCUCCAUAGGCCUUGGAGUGACACUUCUGUAGGAUCUGUCCCUGUUCAUGUUCAGGUACACAACGUCUAAUAACACCAUCUACUCCUACCUUAUAAAGGUGAGGAUCAUUCCAAAAGUAAUGUCUCAAGUCAAAGAAGAAUUUCUUCUUUUGCUGGUAUGUGAAACUAGGUGGUAUAUAUAUUUGGCAACGAUAUAGUUUGCAUAAUCAACAUACCACGGUGCACUACGUGAAGCAUUGAUGACAUUCAAUUGCUUAUCGGGAAAGCUAUCAUCAAUAGGUUGUGGGUCAUCAAGAACGUUCUCCAACCUAUACAAGUUAUCUGCUACGGGGUUAUCAGCACCCUUUCUGUCGACAACGUGCAAAUCAAACUCUUGUAGCAAGAGAACCUAUCUGAUAAGUCUAGGUUUAGCGUCCUUCUUCUCCAUGAGGUACUUAAUGGCAGCGUGAUCAGUGUGAAUAGUGACUUUGGAAUCAACUAUGUAAGACCUGAACUUUUCACAUGCAAACACGACUGCUAAAAACUCCUUCUCCGUAGUAGCAUAGUUUCUUUGGGCACAGUCUAGAGUUUUACUAGCAUAGUGAAUAACAUUCAACUUCUUGUCAACUCUUUGCCCUAGAAUAGCACCAACAACAUAAUCACUAGCAUCACACAUGAUCUCAAAAGGCAAGCUCCAAUCAGCUGGUUGAACAAUAGGUGCAGUUAUCAAAGCCCUCUUAAGUAUUUCGAAGGCUUCCUCACAAUCGUCGUCAAAGAUAAAAGGAAUAUCCUUUUGCAAGAGAUUGGUAAGAGGCCUAGAAAUCUUACAGAAGUCUUUAAUGAACCUUCUAUAGAAGCCAGCAUGACCAAGGAAACUUCUUAUACCUUUGAUAUAUGUGGGGUAUGGCAUUUUCUCGAUUGCAUCAACCUUAGCCUUAUCGACUUCAAUACCUCUUUCAGAAAUUUUAUGUCCUAAGACGAUGCCUUCAUUAACCAUAAAGUGGCACUUCUCCCAAUUCAAGACAAGAUUGGUGUCUUUACAUCUCUGCAAGACUGGAUCAAGGUUGCUGAGGCAAUCAUCAAAGGAAGACCCGUAAACGGAGAAGUCAUCCAUGAAAACCUCAACAAUCUUUUCACAAAAGUCAGAGAAUAUAGCCAUCAUACAUCUUUGAAAGGUGGCAGGUGCAUUACAUAAGCCAAAAGGCAUACGUCUAUAAGCAAAGGUACCGAAAGGGCAAGUGAAAGUGGUCUUCUCCUGAUCAGAUUGCGCAACUGGUAUUUUGGAGAAACCAUAAUAACCGUCUAGAAAGUAGAAGUGUGUGUGUUUAGACAGCCUUUAUAGCAUUUGGUCGAUAAAAGGUAAAGGGUAAUGAUCUUUCCUAGUGGCUUUAUUCAAUUUCCUAAAAUCGAUCACCAUCCUAUAGCCAGUAAUAAUCCUCUGUGGGAUUAAUUCAUGCUUAUCAUUAGGGACAACGGUAAUGCCUCCCUUCUUAGGGACGCAAUGCACCGGACUCACCCAAUCACUAUGAGCAACAGGAUAGAUGAUACCUACUUCCAGGAGCUUUAGUAUUUCUUUUCUCACUACUUCUUUCAUCUUAGGAUUUAAUCUCCUUUGAUGAUCAGCAACUGGUUUGAAAUGAGGAUCAAUUUUAAUCUUGUGCUAGCAUAGAAUAGGACUAAUGCCCUUAAGAUCAUCUAGAGUAUAUCCAAUAGCAGCAUGGUGCUUCCUCAGAUUUUUUAGUAACUUCUUUUCUUUAUGCUAUGAGAGGCUAGCACUAAUAAUAACAAGAUAUAUCUCUUUUUCAUCAAGAUAAGCAUACUUAAGAGUAUCACGCAACUGUUUAAGCUCGAACACAGGAUCAGCCUUUGGUGGGGGUGGAUACCCAAGCAGUUCAACAGGCAGAUUAUUCUUAAGGAUAGGAUAUUGUUCUAAGACAACUCUAUCUAUCUCAUCCCUUUCAUCCAUAUGCAUAUCAUUUUCAUGCUCAAGCAAGUAUUGCUCUAAGGGAUCAGUAGGAGGCACGGCAUUAGAAUCUAAGGCAAUAGUUUCAUCCUUACUAGGCAACUCCUUUUCAUGAGGUUGUCUACCAAACUUAGAGAAAUUGAACUCAUGUGACACACCUUCAAAGCCAACAGUGACAGUUUGCUUCUCACAAUCAAUAUGAGCAUUGACAGUAUUGAGGAAGGGUCUGCCAAAUAUGAUGGGACAAAAGCUAUCUCGUGCAGUAGCAAGAACGAGGAAAUCAGCAGGAUACUUCGUUUUACCACACAAGACUUCAACAUCCCUAACAAUUCCAACAGGGCAGAUAGUAUCUCUAUUGGCAAGCUGAAUAGUGACAUCAAUAGGUUCUAUCUCAACAGGUGCAAUCUCGUCUUUGAUUUCAUCAUAUAAGGAUUGAGGUAUUGGACUAACACUAGCACCCACGUCACAUAAGCCAUGAUAACAAUGAUCUGCUAUCUUAACAGAAACAACAGGCAUGCCAACAACAAGCCUAUGUUUGUCUCUAGCGUGAGGUUUAGCAAUUCUAGCAGCAUCUUCACAGAAGUGCAUAUUAUGUUCAUCAACAUCGUCGUACAGAAGAUCUUUGAUGAUAGCAAUACUAGGUUCAACUCUAAUUUGCUCAGGGGGUGUAGGUGUUCUAAUAUAGCCUCUACGUAUAACAGUUGAAGCUUUAGAAUGAUCCUUUAUCCUAACAGGGAAAGGUGGUUUCUCAAUGUAAGCACUGGGAACAAUAGGAUCAUUAUAGGCAAUGACUUUCUCUUCAACUGGAAUGGGUUUAACUACAUUAACUUCUAAAGGAGGAUGAUAUUUAAACCACUUCUCUUUGGGGAGAUCAAUAUGAGAAGCAAAGGAUUCACACAGUGAAUCUACUAUCGCAGAGUCAAGUCCAUACUUAGCGCUAAAGUCACAGAAAGUAUUUGUCUCAACAAAGUAUUUAACGCAAUCAAACGUGAAAUUCAUACCUGACUCCUUACCUUCUUCAAGCUCCCAAUCUUUAGAGUUGCGUUUAAUUCGCUCCAAUAAAUUACAUUUGAAGUCAAUAUCUCUCUUCAUAAAAGAACCGGUACAAGAAGUGUCAAGCAUGAUGCGAUCAUCAUGAGAAAGCCGAGCAUAGAAGUUCUGAAUGAUAAUUUCUCUCGAGAGCUCAUGAUUGGGGCAUGAAUAUAGCAUUGAUUUAAGCCUCCCCCAAGCUUGAGCGAUGCUUUCUCUGUCACGAGGCCAAAAAUUAUAAAUAUAAUUCCGAUCACGAUGUACUAAAUGCAUAGGAUAAAACUUUUGAUGAAAUUCCAAUUUCAACCGAUUGUAGCCCCAUGAUCCAAUAUCAUCACAUAGCCUAUACCAUGCCAACAUCUUAUCCUUCAAAGAUAAAGGAAAGACCUUCUUCUUGACCUCAUCCUCAGGCAAACCUGCAAGCUUAAAUAAACCACAAACUUCAUCUACAUAGAUUAGAUGCAAGUCUCGAUGUGCUGUUCCAUCUCCUGUAAAAGGAUUAGCCAGCAGUUUCUCAAGCAUACCCGAAGGAAAUCCAAAGCAAAUAUUUUCAGUAGGUGCAGCAGGUUGAGGAGCAACUAUUUGUGCUUCCGUUCGAGGUGAAGAUACCCCGAACAAGCCCCUCAAAGGAUUAGUAUCCAUAGUGACAAGUGACAAUAAAUUUCAGCACACUAUAUGAAUGUUUCCUUACCAAGUUCCACUUAGCAAAGGCGCUUCACUCCCCGGCAACGGCGCCAGAAAAGAGUCUUGAUGACCCACAAGUAUAGGGUAUCAAUCGUAGUCCUUUCGAUAAGUAAGAGUGUCGAACCCAACGAGGAGCAAAAGGAUCUGACAAGUGGUUUUCAGCAAGGAAAUAUCUCCAAGCACUGAAAUUAUCGGUACCAAGUGAUCGUGUGGUGAGAUGAUUCGUAGCAAGCAACAAGUAACAAAAGUAGCAACGGUGCAGCAAAGUGNUUUGAUAUGUGGGUGGACCAACGCUUGGGUACUGCCCUUACUUGGACAAGUAUCCCACUUAUGAUUAACCCCUCUCGCAAGCAUCCGCAACUAUGAAAGAAGAAUUAAGACAAAGUCUAACCAUAGCAUUAAACUAGUGGAUCCAAAUCAGCCCCUUACGAAGCAACGCAUAAACUAGGGUNNNNNNNNNNNNNNNNNNNNNNNNNNNNNNNNNNNNNNNNNNNNNNNNNNNNNNNNNNNNNNNNNNNNNNNNNNNNNNNNNNNNNNNNNNNNNNNNNNNNNNNNNNNNNNNNNNNNNNNNNNNNNNNNNNAGCUUCUGUCACUCUAGAAACCCAUCAUCUACUUACUACUUCCCAAUGCCUUCCUCUAGGCUCAAAUAAUGGUGAAGUGUUAUGUAGUCGGCGUUCACAUAACACCACUAGAGGAAAAACAACAUACAACACAUCAAAAUAUCGAACGAAUACCAAAUUCACAUGACUACUAUUAGCAUGAGUUAUCCCAUGUCCUCAGGAACAAAAGUAACUACUCACAAAGCAUAAUCAUAUUCAUGACCAGAGAGGUAAUGAGUAGCAUCAAGGAUCUGAACAUAAACUCUUCCACCAAAUAAUCCAACUAGCAUCAACUACAAAGAGUAAUCAACACUACUAGCAACCUUACAAGUACCAAUCGGAGUCGCGAGACGGAGAUUGGUUACAAGUGAUGAACUAGGGUUUGGAGAUGAGAUGGUGAUGAGUCCCCUCCGAUGAGAGGAGUGUUGGUGAUGACGAUGGCGAUGAUUUCCCCCUCCGGGAGGGAAGUUUUCCCGGCAGGAUCGUCCUGCCGGAGCUCUAGAUUGGUUCUACUCAAGUUCCGCCUCGUAGCGGCGGUGAAUACACGAAAAAGCUCCUCGCUGAUUUUUUUUCCCUGGACGAAUCCACGAAUCAAUGUGACUUAGUGUAAGUCACGGGAUCUUGUAUUACAGAACGAGUAAAGAGACUUACCGGUAAACCAGAUUGAAAUAGGUAUGCCGAUACUAACGAUCGAAUCUCGGGCAAGUAACAUACCGAAGGACAAAGGGAAUGACAUACGUGGUUAUAUGAAUGCUUGGCACUGAGGUUCAAUCGAUAAGAUCUUCGUAGAAUAUGUAGGAUCCAAUAUGGGCAUCCAGGUCCCGCUAUUGGAUAUUGACCAAGGAGUCCCUCGGGUCAUGUCUACAUAGUUCUCGAACCCGCGGGGUCUGCACUCUUAAGGUUCGACGUUGUUUUAUGCGUAUUUGUGUUAUAUGGUUGGUUACCGAAUGUUGUUCGGAGUCCCGAAUGAGAUCACGGACGUCACGAGGGUUUCCGGAAUGGUCCGGAGACAAAGAUUGAUAUAUAGGAUGACCUCAUUUGAUUACUGGAAAGUUUUCGGCAUUACCGGGAAUGUACCGGGAGUGACGAAUGGGUUCCGGAUGUUCACCGGGGGGCAGCCCACUCGGGGGAAGCCCAUGGACCUUAGGGGUGCCGCACCAGCCCUUAGUGGGCUGGCGGGACAGCCCAAGCGGCCCUAUGCGCAGGAGAAGAAAAAAAUCAAAGGAAAAAGAAAAAAAGGGAAGUGGGAAGGAAGGGAAGGACUCCACCUUCCAAUCCUAGUUGGACUAGGAUUGGAGGAGGAUUCCUCCCCCCCUUGCUUCGGCCGACCCCUUGGGGCUCUCUUGAGCCUCAAGGCAAGGCCCUCCCCCUCCCUCCUAUAUAUACUGAGGUAUUAGGGCUGAUUUGAGACAACUUUGCCACGGCAGCCCGAUCACAUACCUCAACGGUUUUUCCUCUAGAUCGUAUUUGUGCGAAGCUCGGGCGGAGCCCUGCUGAGAUAGAUCACCACCAACCUCCGGAGUGCCGUCACGCUGCUGGAGAACUCAUCUACCUCUCCGUCUCUCUUGCUGGAUCAAGAAGGCCAAGCUCAUCGUCGAGCUGUACGUGUGCUGAACGCGGAGGUGCCGUCCGUUCGGCACUAGAUCGGAGCGGAUCGUGGGACGGAUCGCGGGACGGUUCGUGGGACAGUUCGCGGGGCGGAUCGAGGGCCAUGAGGACGUUCCACUACAUCAACCGUGUUUCUUAGCGCUUCCUGCUGUGCGAUCUACAAGGGUACGUAGAUCCAAACCCCCUCUCAUAGAUGGACAUCACCAUGAUAGGUCUUCAUGCGCGUAGGAAAUUUUUUAUUUCCCAUGCGACGUUCCCCAACAGUGGUAUCAGAGCUUGGUUCAUGCGUAAAUGUUAUCUCGAGUAGAACACAAAAGUUUUUGUGGGCGGUGAUGUGCGAUUUGCUGCCCUCCUUAGUCUUUUCUUGAUUAUGCGGUAUUGUUGGAUCGAAGCGGCUCGGACCGACAUUACUCGUACGCUUACGAGAGACUGGUUUCGUCGCUACGAGCAACCCCGUUGCUCAAAGAUGACCGGCGAGUGUCGGUUUCUCCAACUUUAGUUGAAUCGGAUUUGACCAAGGAGGUCCUUGGAGAGAGGUUAAAUAGCAAUUCAUACAUCUCCGUUGUGGUGUUUGCGUAAGUAAGAUGCGAUCCUACUAGAUACCCAUGGCAACCGCGUAAAACAUGCAACAACAAUUAGAGGACGUCUGACUUGUUUUUGCAGGGUAUGCUUGUGAUGUGAUAUGGCCAACGACGUGAUGUGAUAUAUUGGAUGUAUGAGAUGAUCAUGUUGUAAUAGUUAAUAUCGACUUGCACGUCGAUGGUACGGCAACCGGCAGGAGCCAUAGGGUUGUCUUUAAACUAACGUUUGUGUUUGCAGAUGCGUUUACUAUAUUGCUAGGAAGUAGCUUUAGUAGUAAUGGCAUAAGUAGCACGACAACCCCGAUGGCGACACGUUGAUGGAGAUCAUGGUGUGGAGCUGGUGACAAGAAGAUUGUGUCGGUGCUUUGGUGAUGGAGAUCAAGAAGCACAUGAUGAUGGCCAUAUCAUGUCACUUAUGAAUUGCAUGUGAUGUUAAUCCUUUUAUGCACCUUAUUUUGCUUAGAACAACGGUAGCAUAAUGAGGUGAUCUCUCACUAAAAUUUCAAGACGAAAUUGUGUUCUCCCCGACUGUGCACCGUUGCUACAGUUCAUCGUUUCGAGACACCACGUGAUGAUCGGGUGUGAUAGACUCAACGUUCACAUACAACGGGUGCAAAACAGUUGCACACGCGGAACACUCGGGUUAAACUUGAGGAGCCUAGCAUGUGCAGACAUGGCCUUGGAACACAAGAGACCGAAAGGUCGAGCAUGAAUCAUAUAGUUGAUAUGAUUAGCAUAGAGAUGCUUACCACUGAAACUAUUCUCGACUCACGUGAUGAUCGGACUUGAGAUAGUGAAUUUGGAUCAUGUACCACUCAAAUGACUAGAGAGAUGUACUUUUUGAGUGGGAAUUCUUAAGUAAUAUGAUUAAUUGAACUAAUUAUCAUGAACAUAGUCUAAUGGUCUUUGCGAAUUAAGAUGUAGCUUGCGCUAUAGCUCUACUGUUUUUAUAUGUUCCUAGAGAAAAUUUAGUUGAAAGUUCAUAGUAUCAACUUUGCGGACUUAGUCCGUAAAACUGAGGAUUGUCCUCAUUGCUGCGUAGAAGGCUUAUGUCCUUAAUGCACCACUCGGUGUGUUGCACCUCAAGCGUCGUCUCUGGAUGUUGCGAACAUCUGACAUACACAUUUUUGAUGACUACGUGAUAGUUCAGUGCGCAAUACUUAAUGGCUUAGAAGCAAGGCGCCGAAGACAUUUUGAAAACGUUGCAGAACAUAAGAGAUGUUCAAGGAGAUGAAAUUGAGAUUUCAUGCUCAUGCCCUUGUUGAGAGAUAUAAGACCUCCGACAAGAUUCUUUGCCUACAAAGUAAAGGAGAAAAGCUCAAAAUCGUUGAGCAUGUUCUCAGAUUGUCUGAGUACAACGAUCGCUUGAAUCAAGUGGGAGUUAAUCUUCCAGAUAAGAUAGUGAUGGUUCUCCAAAGUCACUGCCACUAAGCUGCUAGAGCUUCGUGAUGAACUAUAACAUAUCAAGGAUAGAUACAAUGAUCCUUGAGCGAUUCGCGAUGUUUGACACUGCGAAAGUAGAAAUCAAUAAGGAGCAUCAAUAGUUGAUGGUUAGUAAAACCACUAAGUUUCAAGAAAGGCAAGGGCUAGAAGGGAUACUUCGUGAAACGGCAAAACAGUUGCUGCACUAAUGAAGAGACCCAAGAUUAAACCCAAACCCGAGACUAAGUGCUUUUGUUAUGAGGGGAACGGUCACUGAGGCAGAGCUACCCUAGAUGCUUGGUAGAUAAGAAGGCUGGCAAAGUCGACAGAAGUAUAUUUGAUAUACAUGAUGUUGAUGUGUACUUUACUAGUACUCCUAGUAGCGCGAGGGUAUUGGAUACCGGUUCGGUUACUAAGUGAUUAGUAACACGAAAUGAAAGCUACGGAAUAAACGGAGACUAGCUAAAAGCGAGGUGACGAUACGUGUUGGAAGUGUUUCCAAGGUUGAUAUGAUCAAAUGUCGCACGCUCCCUCUACCAUCGGGAUUUGUGUUAAACCUAAAUAAUUGUUAUUUGGUGCUUGCGUUAAGCAUGAACAUGAUUGGAUCAUGUUUAUUGCAAUACGAUUAUUCAUUUAAAAAGAAUAAUGGUUACUCUAUUUUCUUGAAUAAACACCUUCAAUGGUUUAUUAAAUCUCGAUCGUAGUGUUACACAUGUUCAUGAUAUUGGUGCCAAAAGAUACAAGGUAAUGAUGAUAGUACCACUUACUUGUGGCACUGCCGCUUGAGUCGUGUUGGUAUAAAUUGCAUGAAGAGGCUCUGUUCUGAUGGAUCUUUAUACUCACUUGAUUUUGAAUCACUUGUGACACGAAAAUCAUACCACAUGAGCAAGGCCUUGUUUUCAUUGAGAUGAGACAAGAUAGUAACUUGUUGGAAGUAAUACAUUUUGAUGUAUGAAGUCCAAUGGGUGUUGAGGCACACAGUGGAUAUCAUUAUGUUCUUACUUCAAUGACGAUUUGAGUAGAUACAUGAGUAUUUACUUAAUGAAUCACAAGUCUGAAAUAUUGAAAAAGUUCAAUUCUGUUUCAGAGUGAAGUUCGUCGUAACAAGAGGAUAAACUAUCUACGAUAUGAUCAUAGAGAUGAAUAUCUGAGUUGCGAGUUUUGGUACACAGUUAAGACAAUGUGGAAGUUGUUUUGCAGUUCAUGCCACCUGGAACACCAUAGUCAGAUGAUGUGUCCAAAUGUCAUAGCUAUGCCAUAUUUGAUAUGGUGCAUACUAUGAUGUCUCUUAUCGAAUUACCACUAUCGUUUAUGGGUUAUACAUUAGAGACAACCGCAUUCACUUUAAAUAGGGCACCGCGUAUUUCCGCUGAGAUGACACAGUAUAGACUAUGGUUUGGAGAAACCUAAGUUGUCGUUUCUUGAAAAUUUGGGGUUGCGAUGCUUAUGUGAAAAGGUUUUAGUCUGAUAAGCUCGAACCCAAAGCGGAUAAAUGCAUCUUCAUAGGAUAUCCAAAAUAAUUGGAUAUAUCUCCUAUCUCAAAUCCGGAAGCAAAGUGUUUGUUUCUAGAAACGGAUCCUUUCUCGAGGAAAGGUUUCUCUCGAGAGAAUUGAGUGGGAGAGUGGUGGAACUUGAUGAGGUUAUUGAACCGUCACUUCAACCAGUGUGUAGCAGGGCGCAGGAAGUUGUUCCUGUGGCGCCUACACCAAUUGAAGUGGAAGCUGAUGAUAGUGAUCAUUACAGCUUCGGAUCAAGUUACUACAAACCUCGUAGGUCGACAAAGGUCGCUUACUACUACAGAGUGGUACGGUAACCCUGUCUUGGAGGUCAUGUUGUUGAGCAACAAUGAACCUACGAGUUAUGGAGAAGCAAUGGUGGGCCCGGAUUCCGACAAAUGGCUGGAGGCCAUGAAAUCCGAGAGAGGAUCCAUGUAUAAAACAAAGUGUAGACUUUGGAAGAACUACUUGAUGGUAGUAAGACUAUUAAGAAAGGAUGGAUCUUUAAAAGGAAGACAAACGAUGAUGGUGAUAAGUCACUAUUAAGAAAAGCUCGACUUGUCACAAAGAUGUUUUCGACAAGAUCAAAGAGUUGACUAUGAUGUGACUUUCUCACUCGUAGCGAUGCUAAAAGUCUGUUGGAAUUAUGUUAGUAGUUGCUGCAUUAUUUAUGAAAUAUUGCACAUAUGAAGUCAAAACAUUGUUUCCUCGACGGUUUCCUCGAGGAAAGAUUGUAUGUGAUACAAUCAGAAUGUUUUGUCGAUCCUAAGGAUACUAACAAGUAUUCAAGCUCCAGCGAUCCUUCAAUGGACUGGUGCAAGCAUCCGGAGUUGGAAUAUACACUUUGAUGAGAUGAUCAAAGAUUUUGGGUUCAUAGAAGGUUUAUGAGAAACUUGUAUUUCCAAAGAAGUGAGUGGGAGCACUAUAGAUUUUAUGAUAAGUAUAUGUGGUUGACAUAUUGUUGAUCAGAAGUAAUGUAGAAUUUUUGUGAAGCAUAAAAGGUUGUUUGAAAGGAGUUUUUCAAAGGAAUACCUGGAUUGAGCUACUUGAACGUUGAGCAUCAAGAUCUAUGGAGAUAGGUCGAAACACUUAAUAGAAGUUUCAACAAGAUGCAUGCAUAGACAAGUUUUUGAAGGAGUUCAAAAUAGAUCAGCAAAGAAGGAGUUCUUGACUGUGUUGUAAGGUGUGAAUUUGAGUAAGACUCAAAACCUGACCAUGGCAGAAUAAAGAGAAUAUACGAAGGUCGUCUUCUAUGCCUUGGCAGUAGACUCUAAAGUAUGCCAUGCUGAGUACCGCACCUGAUGUGUGCCUUGCAGCAAGUCUGUUAAGAGGUACACGGAGUGAUCCAGGAUUGAAUCACUGAUCAGCGGUCAAAGUUAUCCUUAGUAACUAAAUGAACUAAGGAUUUUUUUUCUCGAUUAUGGAGGUGGUUAAAGAGUUCGUCGUAAAGGGCUACGUUGAUGCAAGCUUUGACACUAAUCUGAAUAACUAUGAGUAGUGAAACGGAUUCGUAUAGUAGAUAUUUGGAGUAUUUCCGAAUAGCACGUAGUAGCAGCAUCUAUAAGAUGGCAUAAAUAUUUGUAAAGCUCACUCGUAUCUGAAAGGGUUCAGAACCGUCGACUAAAACCUCUCUCACAAGCGAGACAUGGUCAAACCCCAGAACUGUAAGAGUGUUGGAUUCGUUAGAACCACAUAGGGAUGUGGACUAGAUUAUUGACUCUAGUGCAAGUGGGAGACUGUUGGAAAUAUGCCCUGGAGGCAAUAAUAAAUUAGUUAUUAUAUAUUUCUUUGUUCAUAAUAAUCGUUUAUUAUCCAUGCUAUAAUUGUGUUGAAUGAAGACUUAGAUACAUGUGUGGAUACAUAGACAAAACACUGUCCCUAGCAAGCCUCUAAAUUGGCUAGUCAGUUGAUCAAGGAUAGUCAAGGUCUUCUGACUAUGUACAAGGUGUUGUUGCUUGAUAACUGGAUCACAUCAUUGGGUGAAUCAUGUGAUGGACUAGACCCAAACUAAUGAACGUAGCAUGUUGAUCGUGUCAUUUUGUUGCUACUGUUUUCUGCGUGUCAAGUAUUUAUUCCUAUGACCAUGAGAUCAUAUAACUCACUGGCACCGGAGGAAUGCCUUAUGUGUAUCAAACGUAACAACGUAACUGGGUGACUAUAAAGAUGCUCUACAGGUAUCUCCGAAGGUGCCCGUUGAGUUAGUAUGGAUCAAGACUCGGAUUUGUCACUCCGUGUGACGGAGAGGUAUCUCGGGCCCACUCGGUAAUACAACAUCACACACAAGCCUUGCAAGCAAUGUGACUUAGUGUAAGUCACGGGAUCUUGUAUUACGGAACGAGUAAAGAGACUCACCGGUAAACGAGAUUGAAAUAGGUAUGCGGAUACUGACGAUCGAAUCUCGGGCAAGUAACAUACCGAAGGACAAAGGGAAUGACAUACGGGAUUAUAUGAAUGCCUGGCACUGAGGUUCAAUCGAUAAGAUCUUCGUAGAAUAUGUAGGAUCCAAUAUGGGCAUCCAGGUCCUGCUAUUGGAUAUUGACCAAGGAGUCCCUCGGGUCAUGUCUACAUAGUUCUCGAACCCGCACGGUCUGCACAUUUAAGGUUCGGCGUUGUUUUAUGCGUAUUUGAGUUAUAUGGAAUGUUGUUCGGAGUCUCGGAUGAGAUCACGGACGUCACGAGGGUUUCCGGAAUGGUCCGGAGAUGAAGAAUGAUAUAUAGGAUGACCUCAUUUGAUUACCGGAAAGUUUUCGGCAUUACCGAGAAUGUACCGGUAGUGACGAAUGGGAUCCGGAUGUUCACCGGGGGGCAGCCCGCCCGGGGGAAACUCAUAGGCCUUAGGGGUGCCGCACCAGCCCUUAGUGGGCUGGUGGUACAGCCCAAGAGGCCCUAUGCGCAGAGAAGAAAAAAUCAAAGGAAAAAGAAAAAAGGGGAAGUGGGAAGGAAGGGAAGGACUCCACCUUCCAAUCCUAGUUGGACUAGGAUUGGAGGAGGAUUCCUCCCCCCUUGCUUCGACCGACCCUUGGGGCUCUCUUGAGCCUCAAGGCAAGGCCCUCCCCCUCCCUCCUAUAUAUACUGAGGUAUUAGGGCUGAUUUGAGACAACUUUGCCACGGCAGCCCGACCACAUACCUCCACGGUUUUUCCUUUAGAUCGUAUUUUUGCGGAGCUCGGGCGGAACCCUGCUGAGAUAGAUCACCACCAACCUCCGGAGUGCCGUCACUCUGCCGGAGAACUCAUCUACCUCUCUGUCUCUCUUGCUGGAUCAAGAAGGCCAAGAUCAUCGUCGAGCUAUACGUGUGCUGAACGCGGAGAUGUCGUCCGUUCGACACUAGAUCGGAGCGGAUCGCGGGACGGUUCGUGGGACGAUUCGCGAGGCGGAUCGAGGGACGUGAGGACGUUCCACUACAUCAACCGCAUUUCUUAACGCUUCCUGUUGUGCGAUCUACAAGGGUACGUAGAUCCAAAUCCCCUCUCGUAGAUGGACAUCACCAUGAUAGGUCUUCGUGCGCGUAGGAAUUUUUUUGUUUCCCAUGCGACGUUCCCCAACACAAGUAAGGGCAAUACCCAAGCGUCGGUCCACCCACAUAUCAAACUAUCAAAGUAACAAACGGGAAUCAUAUGAACAUGAUGAAAACUAGCAUGACAGAAAUUCCCGUGUGUCCUCGGGAGCGUUUUUCCUCCUAUAAGACUUUGUCCAGGCUUGUCCCUUGCUACAAAAGGGAUUGGGCCACUUUGCUGCACCAUUGUUACUUUCGUUACUUGUUUCUUGCUACGAAUCAUCUCACCACACAACCACUUGUUACCGAUAAUUUCAGUUAGUGCAGACAUUACCUUGCUGAAAACCACUUGUCAUAUACUUCUGCUCCUCGUUGGGUUCGACACUCUUACUUAUCGAAAGGACUACGAUAGAUCCCCUAUACUUGUGGGUCAUCAGCCAGCGCCACAAAGAUGGGCUUACUUCCAAGGAACGGGUCGCUCUGCACAAUAUCAGAUCCUUUUGCGCGGGACUCCUCAAAAAAUUGGCGCCUCCCUUGCUCAAGGAAUUUGAAGGGCUACGUGGCGUCAAGGCAGGACAUGAUCCUUUCACCCCGAGGCGUGCAACUCACUCUAUCUCGUUGGGGGGCAAUCAGAAAUCGAAGGCUUCGGUGGCGACACAGUGCUGCUGAAAGCGCUGGGCUUCGACAGUAACAAUGUGGCUGUUUCUGAAGACGCACUUGGACAGCUACGUAUGGUCUUUGACUCACCCUUGCAGGAGCCGCAACUAAGAGCUAUCGCCACCAUUUUUGGGAAGGCUAUCCCCCGCAACAUCAUCGACGAUUUGGAGAGGAACGAUGACACUGUGGUGUAGUAUCCGGGCAGGGCGUUGACAGGAGAUGCACUUGAUUCCAUGUCGACUGUCAAUUUGGAGGUGGUGUGCUGGAACGUGAGGGGUCUUAAUAGCCCCAUCAAGAGGAAGGCGUUGAGAGAGUGAUACGCCUCCGCCGUAUCUACUUUUCCGAACUCUUUUGCCCUUGUUUUCGACUCUAAUUUGCAUGAUUUGAAUGGAACUAACCCGGACUAACGCUGUUUUCAGCAGAAUUGCCAUGGUGUUGUUUUUGUGCAGAAAUAAAGUUCUCGGAAUGACCUGAAAAUUUACGGAGAUUUUUAUGGAAUUAAUGAAAAAUAGCUGCGCAAAGAUCCACCGGAGGAGGUGAGCCAGUGGGCCACAAGCCCAGGAGGCGCGACCACCCCCCUAGCCGCGCCUACCAAGCUUGUGGGGCCCACGUUGCUCCAUCGCCUCCAAUCUCAGCUCUAUUUAGUCCGUCUCGCCCGAAAAAAAUCAAGGAGAAGAGUUCAUCGCAUUUUACGAUACGGAGGCGCCGCCACCUCCUGUUCUUCAUCUGGAGGGCAGAUCUUGAAUCCGUUCUGGGCUCCGGAGAGGGGAGAUCGUCGCCAUCGUCAUCAUCAACCUUCCUUCAUCUCCAAUUCCAUGAUGCUCUUCACCGUUCGUGAGUAAUCUCAUCGUAGGCUUGCUGGACGGUGAUGAGUUGGAUGAGAUCUAUCAUGUAAUCGAGUUAGUUUUGACGGGGAUUGAUCCCUAGUAUCCACUAUGUUCUGAGAUUUAUGUUGCUACUACUUUGCCAUGCUUAAUGCUUGUCACUAGGGCCUGAGUGCCAUGAUUUCAGAUCUGAACCUAUUAUGUUGUCGCCAAUAUAUGUAUGUUUUAGAUCCUAUCUUGCAAGUUGUAGUCACCUACUAUGUGUUAUGACCCGACACCCCCGGAGUGACAAUAGCCGAAACCACUCCCGGAGAUGACCAUGGUAUGAGGAGUUCAUGUAUUCACCAAGUGUUAAUGCGUUGGUCCGGUUCUUUAUUAAAAGGAGAACCUUAAUAUCCCGUAGUUUCCAUUAGGACCCCGCUGCCACGGGAGGGAUGGACAAUAGAUGUCAUGCAAGUUCUUUUCCCUAAGCACGUGUAACUACAUACGGAAUACAUGCCUACAUUAGAUUGACGAACGGGAGCUAGUUACUUAUCUCUCCGUGUUAUAGCUGUUACAUGAUGAAUAACAUCCGGCAUAAUCAUCCAUCACCGAUCCAAUGCCUACGAGUCUUUUACUACUGGUCCUUGCUAUGUUACUUUGCUGCUGCUACUGUUACUCUAUUGCUACUGCUGUUACUCUGCUGCUACUGGUUACUGUUGCUACUGCUGCUAUCAUACGACCUUGCUACUGAUACUUUGUUGCAGACACUAAAUCUUUCAGGUGUGGUUGAAUUGACAACUCAGCUGCUAAUACUUGAGAAUAUUCUUUCGCUUCCCCUUGAGUCGAAUCAAUAAAUUUGGGUUGAAUACUCUACCCUCGAAAACUGCUGCGAUCCCCAUAUACUUAUGGGUUAUCAGAGAGUUUGUGGACUCGAUCCGCAUGGUGAUAGUUUGUAUUCUAGAGUCUAAGCUUGAGGCGGUGGACAAAUAUGUAAUAUUGCCAUGCAUGGGGACAAACUAUGAUGGCUUUACUUACCUCCCGACGUAGGCUACUAGGGGAGGCAUAAUUCUGGCAUGGGACUCCUCUAGGGCGCGGAUCUCUAACUUUGUCAAUGACACUAACUUCAUCACCGGAUACGUCUCGCCCACGGAGGGCACUCCAUGGUGGAUAUCCGUGGUGUACAUGCAGCAGGAGGACGAGCAGAAAAUUAACUUCUUGCGAGAAUUAUCGGACCGUAGAUCGCUCUGCCCGGGGCCUUGGCUUGCUAUUGGAGACUUUAACCUAAUCCUACAUGCGGCUGACAAAAACAACCCGAUCUUGGACAGGAGAAUGAUGGGGACGUUCAAACGCUCCGUCGACGAUAAUGCCCUAAAAGAGUUGUUUCUACAUGGAAGGAAAUACAUGUGGUGCAAUGAGAGGGAGGUGCCCACGCUCACUAAAAUUGACCGUGCGUUUGUAUUUGUGGAUUGGGAGCUUGAUCACCCGGACUGUCUCUUACAAGCUCUCUCCACCGCAUCCUCUGACCACUGCCCGUUGCAUCUAGCUAUGGAGGAUCAUGUGCACAUCAAGAGGCGGUUCCGGUUUGAGAGGUUCUGGAUUAACAUGGACGGCUUCAUGGAUGUGGUCCGUGAGGCUUGGGUAUGCGAUGAUAGCAUCACUGACCCUUUCUUGCGGCUCGAUCGCUUGCUCAGGAACACUGCGAAAGAACUGGCGGCGUGGGGCCAAAAGAAAAUUGGGAACAUCAAACUACAGAUCGCAAUUGCGAAUAUACUCAUCCUCCGGUUCGAUUGCGCUCAUGAGACUCGGCUGCUUACUGACAGCGAGAGAUGGCUCAGGAGAACGCUCAAGCAGCUGGUGUUGGGUCUCGCAUCCCUAGUGAGGACUAUUGCUAGACAAAGAUCACACAUAUCCUGGCUGCGCAAGGGAGAUGCCAACACGAAGCUCUUUCAUCUCGUGGCUAAUGGGAGGAGGAUGAAGAACCACAUCUCGGCGAUCACAGUGGAUGGUCAGAUCAUCACUGAUCAGAGGGGGAAGGAGGAGGCCUUCCACCAGGCGUAUCAUGAACUACUUGGGAAGGACGUGGCACGCGAGUUCACCUUAAACCUUGAUGAGCUCGAUGUUGUGCAGGAUGAUCUUUCGGAUCAAGACUGCAUAUUUCAUGAAGAGGAAAUUUGGAAGGUUAUCAAAGAACUGCCCUCCGAUCGUGCGUCAGGGCCAGACGGAUUCAUUGUCAUAUUCUUUCAGAAGGCUUGGGAGAUCAUCAAAGCUGACCUUACUCACGCGCUGCAUAAACUGCUCAUUGGAAAUGGGAGAGGGUUUGGUAGACUAAACCAGGCAUUGAUCACCCUGAUCCCGAAAUCACCGGUGGCUUGCGCGGUGGCGGAUUUUGGACCGAUCAGUCUGAUUCACAGUUUGCCUAAGCUAGCCUCGAAGCUCCUGGCAACGCGCCUUAGGCCUCGCAUGGGGGAACUGGUGCACAUUAACCAAUCGGCUUUCAUCAAAGGGAGAAACCUACACGNNNNNNNNNNNNNNNNNNNNNNNNNNNNNNNNNNNNNNNNNNNNNNNNNNNNNNNNNNNNNNNNNNNNNNNNNNNNNNNNNNNNNNNNNNNNNNNNNNNNNNNNNNNNNNNNNNNNNNNNNNNNNNNNNUACACGACAAUUUCCUGCUGGUUAGACAGCUAGCGCGUGGCCUACAUCGGAGGAAGGCGAAAGGGGUCCUGCUCAAACUGGACAUAUCUAAAGCCUUCGAUUCUCUAUACUGUCCCUUCCUAUUCGAGGUGCUAAGGGCCAAGGGCUUCUCCGAGCGAUGGAUAUCAUGCAUUGCUACCUUACUGACGACGGCUAGUUCGAGAGUGGCGGUGAAUGGUUGUGCUGGUAGCAAAUUCAUCCAUGCGAAAAGGUCUCUCACAAGGGGAACCUAUAUCCCCCAUGUUGUUCGUGCUGGCUAUGGACGUACUCACUUUGAUCAUUAUUAAGGCACAUGAGAACUCUGCUAUUAGCGCCAUGAACGGUUGUAGCCCGAUGCAACGCCUGUCCUUAUAUGUGGAUGACGUGGUGCUUUCCAUCAAACCUACUCGGCCCAAUCUGCAACUCAUGACUGAGGUGUUUCACAUCUUUGGCGUGGCUUCGGGACUAAAGGUCAACUACAACAAAUCUUCGGCUAUCAUGAUCAGGUCGGAGGAUUCAGAUGCGGAGCUUGUCGAGCGUGCGUUACCAUGGAAAAUGGAACAAUUUCCUUGCAAAUACUUGGGGCUGCAGCUAAGCAUCUGACAGUUACGUCGCUCGGAAUGGCAACCGAUUGUAGACGUGACACUUCAUAUUGUGCCGGGUUGGCAGAGGGGAUUGGUGACUAGGCCGGGACGUCUGGUGCUUGUUAACCAGGUCAUGAGAGCUAGGGCCACGCACCACCUGAUGAUUGUUGAGGCGCCCAAAUGGGCUUUGGAGAAAGUGGACAAAGGCUGUCGGGCCUUCUUGUGGGCUCGCACAUAGGGCAUCCAUGGCGGCAAAUGCGCUGUGUCUUGGGAUCGUGUAUGUCGGCCAAAGAGGCUAGGAGGACUCGGCGUGAUCGACCUGUACAGGCACAGGAUUGCCCUCAGAUUGCGCUGGGAGUGGUUGCGGCGUACAGAUGGCUCUAGGCCUUGGCAAGGUCUUAAUCUGGUUCCUGAUAAGCAAGUGGCCCAUGCCUUUGGCAGCAUGGUUAAGUGGAGCUUAGGAUCACGAUCACAGAUUCUGUUCUGGAAAGACAGAUGGAUAAACGGUGCCACGAUCAAGGAAAUUGCACCAUUAGUGGUGGCUAGAGUGAGAACCCAAGUGGCCAACAAGAGAUCGGCAAGAGAUGCACUUCAAAUGCAUGCUUGGACAAAUGAUAUUGUUGGAGAUAUGUGCACCGAAAGCUUGUCUCAGUUCAUCGCGCUCUAGGAGAUUCUUAUCGAUGUGGAGACCGACCCGGGCAGCGAGGAUAAACCGAUCUGGGCCUGGAUUGUGGAUGGAACUUACACGUCAUCAUCGGCUUAUAGGAUGCUUUGCGAGGGGGGGGGGGGGGGGGGGUUCCCCNNNNNNNNNNNNNNNNNNNNNNNNNNNNNNNNNNNNNNNNNNNNNNNNNNNNNNNNNNNNNNNNNNNNNNNNNNNNNNNNNNNNNNNNNNNNNNNNNNNNNNNNNNNNNNNNNNNNGGGGGGGGGGGGGGGGUAGGAGAUUCCAGUCUUAUGCAGAUAUAUGGAAGAGUUGGGCACCCCUGGCUUGCCGGAUCUUCAUGUGGUUGGCAGUGCAAUACCGGCUGUGGACGUUGGAUAUGAGGGCACGACAUGGGUUACAAGACAAUACCUCCCCUUGCUACUUGUUUGAUCAAGAAAAGGAUACAGUCGACCAUAUCCUUAUUCAAUGUGUCUUCGCUAGGCAGUUAUGGUUCCUUUGCUUCUCUAGGAUGUGGCCGGUAUCGCACUUGUGCCCAACUCAGCAUGACACCUUGGUGGAGUGGUGGCAGGUGGUUCGAAAGCGUAUCACCCAGCGCACAUGCAAGGGCUUUGACACACUAGUUAUGCAUGUCAGCUGGAGCCUAUGAAAGCAAAGGAACGACAAAGUUUUCGAUAGGAGUGCUGUCCUAAACGAAAGGGGCACGGUGAAUCUCAUUUUCGAGGAUCUUACGAACUAGACUAUGGCAGGAGCUUCUCGAGUGAUCCGUAUGAUUGAGUAGUACAGUCUAGUUAACUCGGGAGUGGGGGCUGGGUUAGGAUCGACCUGUGAUGCCUAACUAGCGAUGUCGUAAUCUCUUAUACAUAACUUCUGACUUCUAGAAAGCUGAAAAGGUUGUUGUCACUAUUAUUAACAUAAAAUAUUUUCAUUUAUUAAAUGAAUGUAUUUUCUUUAGCGGAUACCUGAAUUAUUUUUGGAACCCUAUGUCGAGAAGGCCCGGAACGAGUCCCACGAAAUGAACACACUUCUCGUUCAGUCCGACAUCCUUUAAAUAGGAGGAUAGCCAAGCCGAGCCGCUCCUACGGAGUCCCACCUCGCCGCCGCCAAACCCUCGCCCUUCUUCCGCCGGAGCCCACCGAGCUCUCCCACUCCAGAAAUUCCCCGAGCGGGAGCUCGCCCCCUCCAACGCCGCGUCCUCCUCCAGCUCCACAGGUAGGCCCUAGGCCCCGGCACAAAUCUUGUGAUUCCACCCAUCUCCACCUCGCAUCCAUGUCUCGGCCGGAUUGGUUCUAGUUUGCUCCCUGUUCAUGUUGUGAUGUCUAGGGUUUGUCUCGCAGGGACUGGUCUUCGGGAGAUUCCCAUUUGUUCCCGCGACCCCGCGCGCAGCAACCCUAGGCGGGCUCGUCCGCCAUGUUUCCGCCGAAAGGUCCCAAUCCCUACGGGCAGCAACCGCCGUACGGCGGGCAGCAAUCUUACGGCGGCCAAAUCGUAUGUCUCUCUCAAAAAAAAAAGCGCUGAUCUGGUAUUUGCUUAGUUGUGUUAUGUCCAGAUUCGUGGCAGGUUCUCAUCUUUUAUGUGCGCAAAAACCUGCGCUCUUUUGCCCUACUUUUGUGUGCAGCCUGGUAGCAGUGGAUUUGGGGCCUCAGGUGCGGCAGGUGCCCGCGCCGGACAGGCUGCUGCUGGGCAGUAUGGAGGGCCUUACGCGUCGGUGUAUGGCACACAGCAGGUGGUUAACUAAUCGCAAUUCACCAACAUUUUUCAAAAUUGGUUUCAAUAUACAAUUUAUUGGCCUCCUAAUGCAGUUCAUGCUCACUACUGUUACUGUGUAAGUUGCUUUGUCAGUCGUUGUUAAUGUGGUGUAUGUAGAGGGGGAAUCUUUAUAGCAAAGGCAAAUAAUGAAGGUUAUUAGCUGCCAGUUUGAUGCCUUUGGAAUGCAAAUGGUAGUAGAACCGCGCAGCUUCAUGCUCUCAUAAAUCUGAUGUAUCCACAUGGACAUCUGAGAUAAAAGAAAGCACUAGGUUUGGCCAGUGCUGAAGAGGCUGGCCAGGAUUAUUAGUUCUAGCUCAAAUAAAAUUAUCUAAAAUGUUGCUGUGUGAAUCCAAGUAAAACUAAGGUGUCCUCCUGGACCUGAUUUUUUUUGUUUAUCCUUACCCUUAUCCACACGAAGAGCAACUAGUAUUAUAUUAUCCCGGAAGUGUGCCUAUUUUUUUUUUUUUUGGAUGUUUAAAAGGUCACUGAUUCUGUUAGUCCAGAAAACCUAGGAAUUGAUAAUGGCCCUGUGAGAUAAUUGUACAAAAUGAGAGCCAGAUCUCUACUCAUCCUGAAAGAUAAGUAGCAAUGAUGCAGCAUCUAGCUCAUAUGCCCCUUUUGAGUGACCCAUGCUAUCGCCCGUCAUAAUCUAUUGGUUCACACUAGAAUAUUGCUCUGAAAGAUGCCUCACCCAAUGUCCAAAACAUACUAGUUAUGUAUGUGUUAUGCAUCAUUCUAUAUCUUGAUAGUGAGGUUUAAGCUUCAGCUUAAAACUGCAAGAAUCUGGAGGAUUGCAAGUAAAGGUUGCUCUCAAGCCAUCUCCACCUUGCCCCUCCCCUGCAUAAGUCUGUCAGAUCAUGUCCAAACUGUUUAGUGGUGUUAAGACUUGUGAGGGUUUUUGCAAACUAGAUAUAUUUCUGAUUUUCCACCGCAGAUAGGAAUCAAUGGGCUGAUUCUGUAGCACUUAUUUACAGCUACAUAAGCCCAAGGUCAGCUUUUUGUUCUUGCUGUUUCAUUCUUUGUGCCGCAUAAUUACCAGGUAAUUUGAUGUCUGUUUCAUUUUGUAAGUUCUUCUUGUCUCCCAAAUAAGAAUAUGACAAAAUAUAAUAGAUCCCACCAAUUACCAUUUCAUUUACAUGAAUGCCCCUAUCAUACUGAUUAAUGGCAGGAUAGAGUAGAAUAUGGUUUGACCAAUUAUCAUUGUAUUUACGAUAAUGCACUACUAAAAUAACUGAGCUUGCACUAGGCAUGUCAUAUUCAAUAUUUCUGAAAAAAGCAAUGCUAGAGCAUUUCAGCAUCCAGAAUUUCACAAUAUGGGGGCCUCUUUUAGACGAGGAAUGCAUGUUCAUGUGAGUUGUCUAUGUUAACUGACUUGGUGUCCUGGCAGUACCUCGAAGCAGAAAACAGAGCAAGUGCUGGAAUAAUUUGCUGGCUAGUCCACUAAACUGUAGUUGGUAGUCAUGUAGUAUCGCACAUAGCUUAUCCGUGUAUCAAGGAAUCAAAUGAUCUGGAAAAAGAAUACAAAAACUCUUUUAGGUAAAUAAGCUUUUCCUGGGAUAAACUUAUCUUAUGUGGCAUUAAACUUAUAUAUACUUGCCUUCACAUAAUAUUUGUGCUUUUGUGCAUUUUGUCAGAUUUAACGUGUUAAGCCAUUUUGCCGGUAGUUCGUGAAGAGCGGAUACUAGGAAGAGAUUUCUGUUAACCAGUCGUGUCUUUUUCUUUUGUUAUUUCCGAGUUUGUAUUUUUUAGGCCUUGUCUCAAUGUUGAUCUCAACUCUUUGUUUCAGCUGUAUUUGUAUGUUGAUUACUUUCUUCCAUGGUCAGAUCUCACCUCCUUUUAGUUUCAAGUGUCACGACUGUUCCAUGAGUUCUGUGCAUGAUAUCUUGACUGAAUAUCUGAUUUUUUUUUUGCAGGUUGGGGGACUUGGUAGCAAAGGUCCGGAUUCUUCUAGUCUUCCUAGCCUGCCACCUCAUACAUCUUCACUAUCUCAGUCAUCCAAGUUCUCGUCUGGAUCUGCAGGGUCUAACUUGCCAAGACCAAAUGAUGACUAUAUGGCUGUGCGUGGAUAUGCACAGAAGCUAGACCAGUAUGGUACUGAUUACACAUCAGAGAGAAGAAUGUAUGGUGAACACUCAGCUAAUCUUGGCAGGAGGGAUGGCCUUACUGAUUUGGAUAGAAGAUAUCCUGAUCAUAUACCUGCAGCCCAUCAGGUAUAUAAUGUGUGCUCACUUUUUUUGGGGGUUUUCCCCUUAAUUUAGUUAAUUUAGCAAACAUAAUCUUAUGACCACAUUUUUUAUAUCUCAGAUUCAUGACCGUGUGGAGCAGGUAGCAUUCGUCUUUCCCUUACAAAACUAUGGUCUGCUCUCUGUUAUGGCCUAUAAUUAUGUCUAUUCUGUUAAUCUUUUCAGGGUUCAACAAUGCGCCACCAGCCACUUCUGAAAGCUCAGCUGCCGCCUGUGUCUGAUAUGAGGUACGUUAGCUCACAGCCAGGUCACUUAUAUUGUUCAGGUUUUCUAUCCACAUGGUAGACCAUAGUCACUCUCAGUUUAAAAAGUGCAUCAAAUGAACGACUAUGUGCAUGUUCCAAACAUCUCUGCUUAGGACUAAAUUUUGUUAGUUAUUUUAAUUAAUGUACCUCACCGGCCCUUUUGGAAAGCUAAAUUAGCGAUCCUUUGUGUGUUUAUCACUGCAAAAAAACAUAGCACAUGCACUGAGUAAAAUAUGCAUUUCUGGCAGACAAGCCGAUUACUUUGCAGGAAGGUCCGCUCCAAUCCAUCAAGAAUCUCAGGAAAUUAGUACAUAUGGAAGGGCUGAAGCUGACCAUCGCAACUUGUCCAUUCUUGGGAAUGUUCCAUAUGGAGGACAACAAACAUCUUCAUUGUUGGGAGGCGCCCCUAGGACAAACAUUGAUAGUCUUGGCUAUGGGCAAGGAUCAUCAAGCAGUGGUUAUGGGAUGGGUCUGCCCCCGGGGCGUGACUAUGCCUCGGGGAAAGGCCUUCUCCAUCCAUCUUCAGAUUCUGAUUACCGUGACAACAUCUUACCCCGUGCACGUCCAGGCAUCUCCAUGGUUGAUGAACGUGCAAUUGACCGGGUUGGUUAUCGUCGUGAGCUGGAUCUAAGAGAUGAGGAACGUCGAAGGGAUAUGCUACUUGAAAGGGAGAAGGAGCUUGAACGGGAGCGGGAACGGGAGCUGCGAGACCUUCGAGACCGUGAAAGAGAAAGAGACCGUGAAAGAGAAAGAGAACGUGAAAGGGAAAGGGACCGUGAAAGAAUAAGGGAACGUGAAAGAGAAAGGGAGCGGGAGCGUCAAAGGGAACAUGAAAGAGAACGUCUUCGCGAGCGCCGCGAGAAGGAGAGGGAGCGGAACAAGAAGCAUGUAGCUGAUUCAAGGCGUGAGCGCACUCCACCUAGAACCCCUGGUGAUCGACGACGUUCUUCUUCUGUUAAGUCUGAGAAGCCUUUGCGGCGCCUUUCACCUCGACGUGAUGCUGUGCAUAGGUGUCUCCAUGUUCUCUCUAGCUUUGUGGAUGCACUUCGUCUUUGGUGCAGCCUUUUAAACUAACACUUUCGUUUGUUGUCCUGAAGGCAUCGUUCGCCUAUUAAAGAAAUAAAGAGAGAAUAUUUGUGCAAGGUAAACAAACAGUUGUGUUCGUCACAGUGUUCUUGCGAAAAUCAAUUGAUAGUAUUAAUUCUUUACGUGCCUCCUUGAUGCACUCUGGUCUCCAGUUUCCUUUACUGCUGUCCUUGUAUCUCUGUGAACUUAUGCGUCCACUCUUGGAAGUAAUAUCUGAGAGAUUCUGGGUUCCACUUAUCCAUCUAUCUACACCAAUCCUUGUUUUUGCCUUCCUAGCCACUUUCUCUUUUCUGUUACCACUUAUCUGGAGAUUUCUGGUUCCUUACUCUUCCACUUUGGAUAAGUUGGAAGACUAUUUACACCUUAAGCAUAGAUUGCACCAGAGUGGGUAUGAUUGAGCAAUCACGGAGAUGUCUUCCAUCCUCCAUUUCUCUCUGUCUCCUUUAUGUGCAAAUAUCAUAUUCAGUAUGUUCAGUUAUGCAGCAGUUUUAGUCUGAUGCCCAGUACGAACUCGUUGCUAAUUGGGCUGUCUGCUGCAGGUUUUGCCAUUUCGUUUUGUGGAUGAUGAGAGAGACUGUUUAUCUUUGACAAAAAGAUAUCCUAGGCUAUCAGUUAUUCCAGAUUUUUCUAAGGUUUGACAUUCUAUUCAUGACUGUUGAAAAUCAAAACUCAACGUGAAAUCAUGGUACUGUAUGAGUUUUUUUUGCCUUACUUGUGAUUUACUUGUUCUGUAGAUUGUCUUGAAUUGGGCUAAAGAAAGCCUAAAUCUUUCGCUGCAUACACCAGUGAGGUAUGCUUGCACUGUUCUCUUUGUUUUCUUGCUAAAUGUUCUUGAGCUUCCUAUUAAUGACAUGUUUUAUACUGUGUUGCUGCCACUGCUGUAAAAUAGUCUGGAGCAUGCCAUCUGUGAAGAUGACGAUAAAGCUGAUGAAAGCGCACUGGUCUCUUCUGAGAACGCAUCAAGCACAAAGACCCCUGAAACCAUUUGGAAUGCAAAGGUUUUUAUGUUUAUAACGUCGUGUUCAUUUUGGAGUAUGAAUUAAAGCUGUAGUUGGUUUGAGUAGUAGCUCCCGAAAUAAGUAGCGAUAGUGUUUAUUUGAGUGAAUUGUGUCAUUGUGCAUGCUAUAGCAAUAUUUGUAGAAAGCAUGUGGUAUAAUUGUCGUGGGCAUUAAUACUCAUGUUCGUAGAAAAUUAUUGCUUGCAAGUAUAUGACGUGCAACCUGUGCUGCUGACCUGCAUUAUCCAAGGGUUUCAUGGUCUUCCUCUUGAUCAUGCUUGCCACUUGAGCAAUCUUUUGAGAAAUGCUAGUCCGAAUCUAGCUUUUUGUAGGACGAAUUUCCCUUGCAUGAAAAAUAUGCCUUCGUCAUUCCAUCGCAUUGUGACAUAGAGACGUCUCAGAAAAUAAAGUUGUGCUAGUACAAUUUUCUGUUGCAUAUUAAUAUAGUUAUUGCGAUGCUAUGAUUUAUAUGUCUCCAUGGUGGUCCAUCGUGUGCUCACCCCUAGCCUUUGCCUAGUCUUUUUUCUUUGAAACUGGAGGAAAGUUUUCGUGGCAUUUGUACUCAUCUGAUAUUGUAAAAAAUCACAAGAGUCUGUCUUGGGAUUGACGUUAGCUCGAGUUUUGUUUUUAGUGCUUUUAAGUAAUCCAAAGAAGAAAAAUCCACCUCACGUUUGGCCGGAUAUAGAGGCACUUAAGUUAUGCUGUUUGUACUACCUUACAAGGUAACUCCAACCAUCGUGAAGUAAUUUCCUUCUGUGCUUACAUAUAUGCCCAUGUGCAGGUACUUCUGAUGAGCGGUAUGAGCAAUGGUGCCUUUGCUGACAUAACGUCGAUGAGAAGUACUGAGGAACGAGUGGUGCACUUGAACAAUAUCUUAAAAUUUGCUGUAUUCAAGAAGGAUCGUUCACUUCUUGCUAUUGGAGGCCCUUGGAAUGCAGCACUUGAUGGUGGAGAUCCAUUGGUUGACUGUUCUUGCUUGAUUCGAACCGCUAUCAGGUAUGCCUUGAUCAAGUAAAUGCACCAUGGAUAACUUGCAACUCUAAUUGUAAAUGCCUUGAUCAAGUAACCUAUCUUGUUGGACAGAUAUGUGAAGGAACUGGUUCAAGUUGAUCUAUCUAAUUGUACUAGUUGGAAUCGUUUCCUUGAGGUACUUCUAAACCUAUCUCAGCAUCUUCUAGGAACUGUAUUUCUUGAAUAUAUUCUUCUUUGGAUGGAAAACAUCAUCCUUCCAUCAUAUACCUUUUAUUUAAUUGGUCAUAUCUGGAUUCUCCUCUGAAUCGUAGAAGCGCAAACACAUAUAUUCCUAUAUGCUUUGUUCCAAAACUCUAUAAUGCACAUUUUACAUUAUGAAUCUUUAACAAUCAGUUUGCUUCCUGUUAAUUUGUUUGACAUUUCUCUGUUAUUUGUGUUUUAAAAUCUUCCCUAUCCGAAAUGACAAUAUUCGAAAGGAUAUUUGUGCUAAUAAUCGUCAGAAUAUUAGACAUUAUGACUGGUAACUGGUCAGUUGCAAAUGCGAUAUCAAACCCUACUCGUAUGUGGUUUAUUGGCUCUUCCAUAGGAUAAUAUGAGAGCAUUUACUCCAGUAAUGAAGUCAUUCGCUUUUCAAGGCAUGCUAUUAUUGCUGAAGUCAUCAGCAUAAUGUAAUACACGUGUUAUGCUGUAGGUCCAUUACAACAGAGUAGGCAUUGAUGGACUCUUUAGUCACAAAGAAAUUACUGUACUUUUUGUGCCAAACCUGUCGGAAUGCGUACCAUCUUCGGAUAUAUGGAGGAACAACUGGAUUGCAUACCGAAAAUCAAAGAUAGAAAGGGAGCAGUUGAAUAUGAAGAAGGAAAAGGUAAGCUUGUGGUUACUAUUAUAACAUACUUUGUUUUCUUCUGAAACAUCACUAAUAGUUCUGACUUCCUGUUGCAUUUUAGAGCCCAAGUGAUCCAAAGGAACAGAAACAAGGUUUGAAAGAUCCUCACUUAUCAUUUCACUGCCUUUUCCUUGUCUAAUGAAUAAAAUAAUUGAUCCUUGUUUAUUUGUCAGCAGUUUUAGAGGAGCCAAGCGAGGCUAAAAGUAUGAAUGAUCAAUUGAAGGAGGGUGAUGGCGCUGUUAAGAUUGAGAAAAUUGAUGCUGAUAUGGAACUUAAGGAGGGUGAUGGUGCUGCCAAGAUUGAGAAAANNNNNNNNNNNNNNNNNNNNNNNNNNNNNNNNNNNNNNNNNNNNNNNNNNNNNNNNNNNNNNNNNNNNNNNNNNNNNNNNNNNNNNNNNNNNNNNNNNNNNNNNNNNNNNNNNNNNNNNNNNNNNNNNNNNNNNNNNNNNNNNNNNNNNNNNNNNNNNNNNNNNNNNNNNNNNNNNNNNNNNNNNNNNNNNNNNNNNNNNNNNUUGAUGCUGAUAUGGAAGAGCAGGUCAAAGAUAGAGAUGUCAAUCUUGCUGGUGAUGGUGGCAAGAAUCCUGACAAUGUUGGGGAGCAAGUUGAGAAGACAGUGAGGGUUGUUGAAGGAAACGCUUCUGGUGAUGCUACUGUUGACCAUGUCACCGAGGAUAAAAAGCCCAUGAAGAAGAAAAUAAUAAAAAAGGUUGUGAAAGUUGUUCGAAAAAAGCCAACUGCUGAAGCUCCAGUGGAUAAAUCGCCUCAGGUUGACAAGAAUGCCGUGGCAGAAACUGCGAGCAAAACCGUCGAAAAGCACAUUGAACAAAAAAGUGAAGAUCUUGGGGAAGAGAAGGCGGGAGCUGGCAUUGGUCAACAGCCUGAGGCUAAGAAAACUGGGAAGAAGAAGGUAAUUCGAAGGAUUGUUAAAAGAAAAGUUCCUGCUUCAGCGACUGAGCCAACAGCCCUUGCUGCACCUGCUGAAGCAAGUAAACAAGAUGUGGCUGUUCAGCCGGAGAAGUUUGAUGAAGUCCCCACCGAUGCUGGGAAUUCACAGACUAAACUGGAAGAAGGAUUGAAAACUCCUGCUNNNN